This 80470-nucleotide long non-coding RNA is filed under the name Gossypium barbadense (sea-island cotton). RNAcentral's name for it is "long non-coding RNA (GBAR_LNC004931)". The stretch from base 11683 to 11789 matches the Rfam family "Plant small nucleolar RNA R71". Lineage: Eukaryota; Viridiplantae; Streptophyta; Magnoliopsida; Malvales; Malvaceae. The record is from RNAcentral.
ACCAAAACAAAAGGUUGGUGGCGACUCCACAGCUGGUUUUGAAAAGUUGAUCCCCAUUUUUUCUAACUCUAAAAAAUGGUUUCGAUACAUCAUGAAGGUUAAAGUAAAAAAUAGCAACUACAUACUACAUUUAGGCUAUCUUAAAGAGAUGUCUCAACUAUUGUCUAAAGGUUGAUGUUUGAACCAGAGAUAAAACAUAGUGAUGCAGUUCAAAGAAAUGUUUAAACACAAGGAGAAACUUCAAAUGUAAGACAACUAAGAGUCUCAACAAUAUUGUGUUGUAUUAUAUAUUAUAUUAUGUGAUAUUAGUUCAAUCUAUUUAAAUAUUAGAUAUGAAAACUGUUAGCUCGAUUAAUCAAACCGAAAUUGUCAAGAAGGGAGGUGCAUUGACUUUUAAAAAAUUUGGUAAAACCAAGGAAAGAAAAUGAAACAAUGAACACAAAGAUUUAGAAUAGUUUAACCCCAAUUGCCUAUUCCAAUAACUUAGCUUUUCACAAUUAAUGAUUUCUUAAAUUCACUAAUUUUUUCAACCUUUGAGGACAAGGUUUAACCUUACAACACUCUUAAGAUUUCUACCCUAAAUUUUAAGAUAAACCCUCUCAAAGAAUUACAAAGAAGAGGACAAAGAGAUAAUCCUAACAAAAUCAGAAUGUUUGCAAAUUAAGCAUGAUGUGAACAAAUCGCGAUAAGUUUUAUAUUAAUGAAUGAUCGUACUUGAAAACUAACUAUUAUCACGAUAAAUGCAAGCGCACCUAUCGAACAGUAGUAUAGUUUAUAGCAAGACCGGAAUGUCAAACCCACAGGAACUAAAAGUACUAGUAUUAACUUUCUUUUGAUUAUCUAGUCUAAAAUAAAUGGGUUGUUUUAUCUAAACUAAUUAACUAAACUAAGAAUGCACAGGAAGUAAGUUGGGGAAAUACUUUGGAAAAACUGAUUGACUUAGACAAUACUCAAGGAAAAAACCACCUAGACUUCACUUGUUAUUUAACUCUGAACUAGACGUUUAUUCACUUGACUUGAUCCGUAGAAAUCCCUAAUUUAUAUUAUUAUCUCUCUCGAGACUAAUAACUUCUAACCCUAGGUUGAUUAAUUGAAAUCUCUUUCUAAUUAAAACCCCUAGUGUUGCAUUAACUUGAUCUAUGGAUUCCCUUAUUAGGUUUCACCCUAAUCCGACAAAAUUAUGUCGCCCUAUGUCUAGGGGUGCAAUUAACUCCGCUUAAUUAUGCUAGAUUUACUCUUAGAUAGGGACUUUUGCUCCUCUGAAUAAGCACAUCAAUACUUGAAUUAAUAUCCUGGAAUAUUAAAGCAAGAAUUAAGAACACAUAAUUAAGAACAAAUCAAAUAUUUACCAUAUAAUUUAGAAAAUAAUAACAAGAUCCGUCUUAGGUUUCAUUCCCCUUAGGUAUUUAGGGGAUUUAGUUCAUAUUUGUAAAAGACAACAUCUCAAAAGAAUAAUAAUAACAAAACAUAAAGAAAACCCAAAAACUCCUAAGGAAAAUUGAAGGGAGAUCUUCAGUCUUGAAGGAGAAUCAGGCUUUUGAGAUGGAUCAAUCGGCUUUCUUCGACUAAUUCAUUGCCUCCUACUCUGUGUGUCCCUUAAUUGCUUCCUCUGGGGUGUUAAUAUAGGCUUUAGAAUGCCUAAGAACCCUCCAAAGUGGCCUUUUCCGAAUAGAACUAAACUUGGGCUCGACAGGGACACGCUUGUGUGACACGCCCGUGUGCAAUUGCUUCAAACCGUGUUAAAGGCUGUUGAAUAGACAUGGGCGUGUGGUCUACCUGUGUAAAGAAGUCCAGGCCGUGUUAAAGUCUGCCAAAACUACACGGGCAUGUGGUCUACCCGUGUACGGAAGUCUAGGCCGUGUCGAUUUCUCAUGUUGACCCAUUUUCUUCGUUUUUGGCUCGUUUCUCGCUCUUUUUAAUUUCCUGUGCUCACCUAAGUAUAAAAUAUGAAAUUAAAGGAUUAAGAGCAUCGAAUUCUCCAAAUCUAAGGAUAAUUUAUCAAAAAAUCUACUAAGCAUGGGAUAAAAAUAUGUAUAAAUUACAAUUUAUCAAAUAACCCCACACUUAAGCGUUUGCUUAUCCUCAAGCAAAAUCCUCAACUCACAAUUAAAAUAAAUUCUUCUCAAUUUACAAUUCUCAUCAAUAAUAUCUCAAAAUAAACCAUAAGUAAUCAUACAUUGAGAAUUCAACUAAAAGAACAUCAAAGCUUCAAACAUUCCAAGUUAAGCAUUUUAUCACGAAAAUAUUAGGUGUCUUCCCUUAUCUAAGUAAUCACCUUUAAUUCAAAAUAUCACAGAAUUUAACAUCCUCACUAAAGAUUCACUCAAAUCACUCGAGGUGUUUAAGGACAACAAAUUUAGCACUCAUUAGUCAAAAUGAAAAGUUAUUACCAUAGGCUUGCGUGAAAAUCAAAUCUCCACCACUAUAUAUUGAGAUGAUACAUCAAUCAAAAGGUCUUUAAAGGGUUGUAACGUGGCUUUGGUUAAAGGGUGUGGUCACAAGCUGAAAAAGAAGGUUAGAAUCGAGAUUGAAUUGAAAAAUUACCUAACUAGAAAAAUACUACAAUUGACAAAUUACAUUCCUCAUGAGCUUUUCUUCAUGGAUAACAUCGUUUUAAUCUAAGCAUUACAUAAUUUCAUAAUAAUAAUAAUAUUUUUUUAAGAACAAAUCAAAUAUUAUAGAAUAAAACAUAGUUAAGCAAUUUAUUCAAAUCAAAUCUCGACAAAAAUAGAGAUUAAAUUAAUUGAGGGGAUUUUAACAAUAAUGGGUUAUGGGUUAAUAUAGAGGGUAAAUCAAUAAAUAGUUUGUUAAGCUCAAGGGGGUUCACUAAGGGUUAAUUAUGAAGGUAAGCUUUUAUGGAGUGAGUGGGUUAAUCCUAAGUGCCUUUAUCAUCUCAACAUAUCAAAUCAAAUGGAAUGGUUUUGACAUGCAUAAUCAAUGCAAGUUCUAAAAUAACAAAUCAAUAUUGACGCACUCAAAGCAACAAGAAAAGUGAGUAUGAAAGAAAUAAUAUAUGCUCUAAAGCUUAAGAUCUCACAAGAAUUAUUACUUUUUGAUGUUAAACCUGUGAAUUUCAACUCGAGAUAAUACCUAAACUUGGGGAAACAACCUAAAAAAAAUUUAAUUCUCAAAAAUCAACUUAUCGUGUUUGAUUCUCUAAUUUCUUAAAUUCUGAACAAUUAAUGUAUAAAUGCCUAUGUUUUAAUUCAAGACAUAUCAAUAAAAAUCAUAAAUUAAUCAAAAUUCAUUCUAAUCGUGACAUGAGUGAGUCACAUGAGAAUAAGACAAAAUUCAGGAAUUUUUCUGAUAAUGAUAUAGAUAAACCCCCCACACUUAAGAUGUACAUUACCCUCAAUGUACAAGGAUGUAUAGUAAUAUAAAGAUAAUAUAAAAAAAAGAGAGAGAGAAAGAAAUGAAACUUCCUGAAUGUUAAAUGGAAUCAUUGAAUUGGAGGUAUAGAAAGUGGAGAAAGAUACUCCGGUGGUGAUAAAGGUUGGGUUCCACAACCACAGUGUCCAGCGAAUAGGUUAUCGUGGUGGUUGUAAUGGGCCAAUUUAGCCUGGACCCUUAUAAGCAUAAAAUCAAAAUUAUUAUAAUAAAAAAAAUUAUGAUAGUCCAGUUUUAUAACAGUCCAAUUACAAAACUUGUGGCCCAACAACGAAUGCAACCCAAAAUCAUUACUUAGACCCAAAACCCAAACUUAAUACCCUAGCCCAAUAGGCCCAUCUCCUUAACAGUUCCAGAAACCCUAGGUCACCCCCCUUUGUUUUGCACCGCAGCUAAGAACAGGACAACUCCUCCGCUCCAGCAGCCACGCUCACACCUCCAUAUACCAGUACAGCCCUCGCACCGUACGACGCGCCAGCUCCAGUACACACGCCAAUGCACACCCUAUACCUGCAAAUAUAGAAAAAUGACAACAACAAAUACGAGCAAAAAUUGUAUUUUUUUAUUUUCUUUUUAUUUUUCUAUCUCUUCGGCUAUAAAGCCAAGAGUUUUCCUCAUUUUGUAAGGUUACAGACAGAUAUUACGCACAUACAACAAAGAAAUAGAAAAGCAGAAAUUACAAAUCAAGAGGUGAUUUUCAAGUCUAUUUAUUCUUUUGUUUCUCUCCUCAUUUUUCUUGCGAUUUUAACAUAAAAGAAAGAAGCAUUUGAAAUGACACCGAUGAACACCCAAGUAUCUCGAAAAUAAGGAGAUUGGGUAAGGGUCGAACAUUUUUUUUGAAUUCUUGCUUGGUUUUUUCGAAAUAGUGAAUUACGAUUUGAAGAUUUUUUUUAAAAAAAAAAAGAAAGGGAAAGAAGUGGCUCACCAGAUCUCUGUGGUUGCGACCUCUGUCGGCAAAGUCUGGUGGUUCGCGCCGUUGGACAUUGAACUAAUGGUGGUCUGGCGGCUACAUGUUAAGCCAAACCCUAACAGAACUGGAUUAAGGUUAAAAGGGUUAUUAGUGUUUUGAAGGUAAAAUAAAUGGAAAUGGGGAUUUUAAUACCAGUUUUAUGAAACGGUGCCAUUUAAAGAGGGUGGAUCCGCGCGUUGACCCGAUCCGAGGGUCGAAUCCGCACUCUUUCGUUCCAGAUGGGUAUUUUGCGCAGAUAAUCCAUCCCCUUUGCCCCCACUUUUGAUUGGCUCCUGAUUUCAUUUUAUUUAUUUUUAGAUUCUUCCUAAAGUUUGGAUAUGUUUGCACUUUGGUCCAUGAUCAAGUGCUGCGUUUUGAGACCUGGGGUAUUUCCAGUUUUGGACCCUAAGCGUUCGCACGCAUUGCGCAUCGGUCCUUGCUUCAAUUUCAAUAAUUUAUUUUAUUCAUAAAUUGACUCCAUUAUUUUAGAUUUAUUUUUAAUUGAGUCAUCUAUACUUAUAAUGCAUUGUUUUUAAAAGAACUCAAUAAAUAUUUUUUUGCUGAAAUUACUUUAAUAAUUUUACCCCCUUUUUAUUUAUUUUAAAGUUCUAUAUUAUGUUAUUUUAGCAACUAACAUUUCGUUUAAAUAUUUUUUUUAUUUGUACAUGUCUUAUUUUAAGUGAGUUUUUGGACUAGUAAUAUUUAUUAUUUUAAGGUUUCUAACAUUUUUAUAUAUGUGUAUAUGUGUUAAGCUAUUAUAAUAACUCUAUUUUGUUUUUGUAAAAUCAUCUUUAAAUUCUUUAGCAUAUUAUUUCAACAUUCUAUAUGAUAUUUUAUUCAAAUGUUUUACAUCUAUAUGAAUAUAUAUUAUUCAUAGUGAAACUAGCUUGAUCCCAUAUACAUAUCGAAUUUCUUUUUUUUCAUUUUGUUGUUUUUUUUUAUUACUUAUAUAUAUGUUUUUAAAUCUAUUGUGUAUAUAACUUAUCUUUUAAAAUUAUACGUUGUCGUAUACCUUUGCAUGCCUUUUUAUAUAUUCCAUUCGUUAUUUGAACUUAUCUUUAUUCGUACAUAUUGUCAAUUGUAAAUAAAUGUAUUUUUCCCAAAUCAUUUUGCAUAUUAUUUGAUUCAAGUGUCUUCAUUUUGUAGCAUCUAUUUUAAAAUUAUUUAUAUAUUCUUAGUUUUUACAAAUUAUCUUGAAUUCUAAGAUGUGUUGUUUGCUCAUCAAUGCAACAUUCCUUAAUUAGAAGUUUUUUUUUUGUAUCAUAUUAAUUUUAUAUUGUUUGAUAUCUCAUGGGUUAAUUUUUUUUAUAUAUUAUUUCAUGUGUAUUAUGUCAAUUAUUCUCUAUGCAUGCUUGAACAUCGAGUUAUAAUUUUUAGAUUAAUCAUAGUUAAUUGUUUUGUCAGUUGAUUGAAUAAAGUAUAUUAUUUUCAUUCAUCCAUUAUUGUAUUUUAUGCAUACAUAUAUUAUCCCAUGCUUUUUUUGGUUUACAAAAUGUUGUUUCAUAAGGCCCAACCUUUUUUAAUUAAUUAUUCCAUCUUGCUUGAAGUAAAAUUAAUACGUUCUGAGCUAGUUUUAUAAUUAUUCAUUUUGAAAAUUCACUAAAACAAAGGCGAUACUCGAUGUUUGGCAAUUCAGGAAUCGUGCCCUAUCGUGCUGGGUUGCGAUUUCCUGUUUGUUCAAAACAAUCGAAUAUUCCUAUGGAAUUUCACUCAUGUCUUUAAAAAUUAUUUAAAAUGAAGGUGAUGUUCGAUAUUUGGCAAUUCGCGGAAUCGUGCCCUAACGUGCUGGGUUGCAAUUUCUCGUUUGCUCAAAAUAAUCUAAUAUUCAUUUAGAAUUUCAUUCAUGUUUUCUAAAAACUCUUUAAAACGAAGGAAAUGUUCGAUGUUUGACAAUUCGGGGAGUCGUGCCCUAUCGUGCUGGAUUACAAUUUCUCGUUUGUUCAAAAUAAUCGAAUAUCCCUUUAGAAUUUCGCUCAUGUCUUUAAAAACUCUUUAAAGCGAAGGCAAUAUUCGAUGUUUGGAAAUUCGGGGAAUAGUGCCCUAUCGUGCUGGGUUUCGAUUUCCCGUUUGUUCAAAAUAAUCAAAUAUUCCUUUGAAAUUUUACUCGUGUUUUCUAAGGCGAGGCAAUGUUCAAUGUUUGAAAAUUCGAGGAAUCGUGCCCUACUCUGCUGGGUUUCGAUUUUUUGUUGGACUAAAUAAUUGGGCAUCCUUUUGUAAUUUUCCAAUUAUAAACUUUUGGAAGUCGAAAUUUAUUGUGUUUUCGAGGGUAUAAAGGAUCGUGUCCUAUCGUGCUGGAUGUGAUGCUAUAUUCCUCUAAAACAAGAAGAUUUUGACGACCAACUUGGGUUAUUCAAAUGUUAUUAAAAGGAACCACAUUUCAAAAACAUUUUUAAAUUUUAGACAUAAGGACAGAAUAUAAUUGAUUUGGUACCAAUUUUGGGCAUAAUAAGGGUGCUAGUCCUUCCUCAUACGUAACCGACUCCUGAACUUAUUUUCUCAUAUUUUCGUAAGACCAAAAUCGUUAUUUUAGCAAAAAGAAAUAUUUUACUAAAAUAACCAAAUUUCUAGGUGAUCCGAUCACACCUAGACAAAAAAGGAUUGGUGGCGACUCCAUUUCCGUUUUUCAAAAAGUCGAUUCCCCGUUUUUCAUUAAAUUUAAAAUUUUGAAAGAUGGUUUCGACAGUGGUCGGGCAAGACAUGGCAGUCGUGAAGAACCUUUUCCAGUGGAGUUGCAAGUUCCUAAGUAAUAGUGAGCUUUGGAGCUCUUCAUAACUGCGAUAGAAUCAGUAACUUUUUAGGAAAUAUAAAGUAGCAGGAUUACUUGUAAAUAAGUGGCCAAAAACAUAAAUUGUUUAAUAUAAAUUGUAAAACCUAAAAAUGAAAUAGUAUUAAAGGGAAAUAAAAUAAAAAGUACUUUAAAAAGAUAAAUAAACAUAAAAGUAAUAAAUAAAGAAUCUUCAAAAAUCUUCAUCGCCAGAUGGUUCAUGAGGUGGGGGUGGCGAUGAGAUGUGAAGGUGCUGACAAAUCUGAUGUAAAGUCGCAUCAAUGUGAUCAAAGCGUUGAAAAAAUUACUGCUCGAAUCGAGUGAGACGCUCAGAUAUGUCAGAAAGUGAAGCCGCCGCAUGAACUGGACGAUGAAUAGGUGGUGGCUGAGAGGCUGGAUCCUCAUGAGGUGGAGGGACAUCAUCAGUAAUGUCCUCUAGGUCCUCCUUCUCGGCUGAUUGGACUAGGCGACACUGAGGAGGAUCAAAUCCACGUUGUCGCUUGACCAUCCUCAUAUGUAGCAUACUCGAGAUGCCUUAUGGGAACAUCUGACCAAUAAGAGUAAGGGAGGAUGCUUACGCCACCGUGUUGAGGAGAUCUAAGUACCGCGCUAGGCGAGUCACAUAAGGGCAAAUGGAAAUAACUCCCUUCUUAUAUAGCUCUGUCUAAUGGUGAAUGGCGAGGACGAUGAAAUAAGUGAGGUCGAAGACGUGCCCAUGCACCAUGCUCUAUAAAAAGUAGGCGUCGUUAAUAUUGAUGAUGCCGAUACUCUUUUGUUGCCCUGUCAGGGUGUGGGCUAGGAUGGCGUGUAAGUAUCGCAGGGAUGGGGCGAGAGCCGAUGCCUUAGAGCGGCUGGGGUCAUAAGUGGCCGAGGCAAGGACUAGGGCCUUCCAACAAUUUGAAGGAGAGUAGUGGAUGUGGCGAUGGAGGCUUUUGAAGUUGUCGUCAUCCAUGAACUCCUUCGUAUAUAGUCCCAGUGUGACUCCGAACUCAGGUACGCUCAACUGGCGAACUAAACUAUCGAGAUGGAAUUGGACCAUUUUAGGAUCAUCAAACUCUGUCAUAACAGCUUGAAGGUGGAAGGUCGAACAGAGUUCGAGUGUGAGCUCGACCUCGAUGAUCUCAAAGAAGAGCCCCCACGGGUCAGUAUUCAGGAGAGCCCGGACUGCGUCAGCCAGUUGGAUCUACUCCAGUAAGGCUCAAUCAAUGCAACGGCCCACACCUAAGGGUUGGGCCCGUAGUAUUUGGAAAAGUUCCUCCUGUGUUUUCGGUGGAAAUUGGAGAAAUGGGUGUUUGAUCUCGACAGUGGGACUUGAAGAGGAUGCUGCUCCUUUUUAUUUCUUUGAGGCAGGGACGACAGUCUUCUUGCCUUUUGGGUUCGUCAUUGUAUCUACAAUGAAAAGACAAAGUUCUAAAAAUAAUUCCCAAGAAAAGCAUGGAAAAAGUAUGCAAGCAUAUUAGAAUUAAAUAGAAAACUUCAUAAGGGUUACUGGCUAAAGGGGAAAUGUACUGAAAAAUAACCAAAUCCUAAUAGAUAGACAUAUCAAAUCAUUAUUAGAAUUAGGAAUUCGAGAAUAAUGCUAACAAAAUACCUAGUGAAUAAAUGCAUAUGGGAAUGUUAAUAUGGAAUAUGGUAUGAAAUCCAUGGAAACACAAGAUUGAAUGAAUAUAUCAUAAUGCUUCAACUAAAAUGGAAAAUUUUUAAAUAAGAAAAAAGAGCAUAAGCAUGAUUAUCAUUAGAAUCAGUCAAAUAAAACAAGAAAUAACAAGAUAAUAGAGAGGAAAGAAUAGACAAAUGCAAUAGUGUAGAGGGAGAAUGUUGGUCGUCCGAGGAGUAAGUGAUGUGGGUCGGUUACGAGCGUGGGCAGUGAGGCCGUGUGGUGCAAAAAAGUGAGAAGAGGGGAGAGGAGAGAGAGAGUGAGGAGAAAAAUGGAAGAAUAAAGGUGAGUUAGGGGUGGCCGGUUGGUGGGGAGAGGAAUUUUAGCAGCUAAGGUUAGGGUUUUGGGGGAAGAGGAUGAUGAAUAGUGAGGGGUUUAUAUAGAUAUUGGGGCACACAACCAUGGGGCACGCUCGUGUACCCUUAUUUCAGCCUCUGUGUUUCGUGAUUUUCAAAUUUAGGUGUGUCUGAAAUUCACCCCACACCCGUGUUCGUUGGGCGUAUUGGUGCACACGGUCGUGUCGCACGACCGUGUCCUGCUUCGUUCGCUUCUCUCACGCCCGUGUAUGUAUGCGCACGCCUGUGUUAUUUUGACAGUCUUAAGCACGGGUGGUGGGCACGGGUGUGUCGCACGCCCGUGUUAAUUUUUCAGUUCACCAUGAUUUUUAGACACGGGCGUGUCGUACGCCCGUGUUAUUUUGACAGUUUUUCCCACGAUCAUGUCGCACGAUCGUGGCAAUGUAUCCAAUCCUGUGUUGGGGAAAAAUUUUACUCUAGUUUCACACGGCCGUGUCGCCUCCUGUGGUGUGAGAACGGCCUAAGGCACACCCAUGUGCCUAGCCGUGUGGAUUUGGAAAACCUGUGUUCAAUGACUCAGUUAGUGGUUUAUAUGUUAAUAACUAAAAUUUAAAGAAAUCAAUCAUCGUUAAUGCUCAGGUUGCCUCCCAAGAAGCGUUUAUGUAGAGUCCAAGCUCGACUUACCUCUCUGUUACGCGGUCAUAAUGGUGCGAGGAGUUUACACUCCUCAUUCUUGCUAUUAAUUUCAUCAAAAUAAGGUUUUAGAUAGGUACUAUUUACCUUAAAAGUGUCAAAUUUGGGAUGAAUUACCUUGACUAUACCGGAUGGGAAAAUGCUAAGUAUCGUAAGAGGGAUUGCUCCAUUAGGUUCAGAAGUGGCAAUACGAGGGUCUGUUGCAUCUAAUAAUACUUUAUCUCCAAACUUAAGUUGAUUUGGUGAAACAUUGAGUCUGUCAUGGCGUGGUUUAUCAUGUGUUCUCAAUUUUUGUGUCCACUAUUCAUCUAGUUCCUCGAUUUGUAGCCUUUGUUUUUCAUGGAUGGGUCUUUUGUUGUUACUUGAACAUGGCUCAUGUAUGCUUUUCGAACGUGUUUCCUACAAAGAAUGUUGUACCACAUGAUCAGUAUUAGUAGAAUUUCGAGCUUGAAGAGUAAUUGUUUUAUUCCCCACACGAAGUGUGAGUUCACCGGUACCAACAUCAAUAAUAGUUAUAGCAGUUGCUAAAAAGGGUCGUCCUAAAAUCAAAUGUACGUUACUAUCCUCUUCCAUGUCUAGAACAACAAAAUCAAUUGGGAAUAUAAAUUUAUUAAUUUUGACAAGUACAUCUUCAAUGAUACCCCUAGGAAAUCUAAUGGUUUUAUCGGCUAACUGAAUGCUCAUCCUAGUUUGUUUGGGUUUCCCAAGACCUAGUUGUUUAAACAUUUUAUAGGGCAUGACAUUAAUACUCGCCCCUAAAUUAGCCAAUGCAUUAUUAACAUCUAAGCUACCAAUUAAACAAGGAAUCGUAAAACUCUCUGGAUCUUUCAAUUUGGUGGCCAGCUUGUUCUGUAGAAUGGCUGAGCAAACUACAUUCAACUCCACAUGCUACGCCUCAUCCAACUUCCGCUUAUUUAUUAAAAACUCCUUUAAAAAUUUAACUGCAUUUGGCAUUUGUGAAAAAGCUUCAAUAAAUGGUAAGUUAAUAUGUAAUUUCUUUAAUAAUUUAAAGAAUUUACGAAAUUAUUCAUCCGUGUGGUCUUUCCUUGUCGCAUUAGGGUGUGGCACAUAAGGUUUGUACUCUUUACUUACCGGUUUCCACUCACUGUGGUCUACCUUACCUUUAUCUUUACUUACUACAAUUUUUUGCCUCGGUUCUGGUUUAGGUUCAACUAAUAUUUCCUCAUCUUGAAUGGUAAUCGCAUUGAGCUAUUCCCUUGGGUUAGAUUCAGUGUUACUCGGCAGGCUACCUUGUGGUCGUUCAGAAAUUAAUUUAGUGAGCUGUCCUAUCUGAGUUUCGAGCCCAUGGAUCGACACUUGUUGAUUCUUAAGUGCUGUUUCGGUAUUCUAAAAAUGAGUUUCUGACACCGAGAUAAACUUCGUUAGCAUCUCCUCAAGGUUCAGCUUCUUUUCUUGCUGGUAAGGUUGUUGUUAAAAACCUGGAGGAUGUUGUGGUUUUUAAUUUCCUUUACCACUCCAUGAAAAAUUGGGAUGGUUCCUCCAACCUGCAUUAUAAGUGUUACUGUAUGGGUUAUUUUGAGGUCUAAAAUUAUUGUUACCUAUAUAUUGGACUUGUUCCUCCUUGGUGUUAGGGUUGAAGGUUUGAUAUUCUGUCUGAACUCCUCCUCCAUUUGAAUCGCACCUCAUAACUGGAUGUACCUGAGUAGAACCACACAAACCACCAAUCUUUUUAUUUAAAAGUUUUACCUGGUUAGACAACAUAGUAACCGCAUUGAGGUUGAAAACACCUGCUACUUUUGUCGGCUUUGUUCUCAUAACUUGCCACUGAUAGUUAUUCAAUGACAUCUCUUUAAUGAAUUCGUAAGCCUCUUCAGGUGUUUUGUUAUUCAAAGUUCCACUGGCAGCUGGGUCGAUAAGUUACCUUGUUGAGGGGUUCGCACCGUUGUAAAACGUCUGAACUUGCAGCCAUAGAGGCAAUCCAUGGUGAGGGCAUAUUCUCAAUAGAUCAUUGUGUCUCUCCCAUGCAUCAUAGAGUGUUUCUAGUUCCAUCUGCACAAAAGAAGAGAUAUCAUUCCUUAACUUAGCCAUUUUAGCUGGUGAAAAAUAUUUAAGUAAAAAAUUUUCGGUCAUUUGUUCCCAAGUAGUGAUUGACCCUCGUGAUAAUGAGUUCAAGCACUGUUUAGUCUUAUUCCUUAAUGAAAAGGGAAAUAACCGAAGACGAAUGGCAUCAUCAGAAACGCCAUUGAUUUUAAACGUGUCGCAGAAUUUCAGAAAAUUCGCUAAGUGAGUAUUUGGAUCAUCAUCCUACAAACCAUCAAACUAAACAAACUGUUGUAUCAUUUGAACUGUGUUAGGUUUCAGUUCAAAAUUAUUUGCAACAAUAGCAGACCUAACUAUACUCGACUCAGUUCCUGUUAGGUUAGGUUUAGCAUAAUCAUACAUAGUGCGUGGAGUAGGAUUUUAAUUUAUUGGAUCAGUAGCAAUCGCAGGAGGUAGCGGAUUUUCUUGAUUUUUAGCCAUCUCCUCGGAUGUGGUUAGAAUAUCGUCUUCUUGCUCUUCCUUUAUGUCUCUUAGGCUUUGCCUUAUUUCUUUUUAGUUUCUGCGAGCUGUGUGUUUGAUCUCACUAUCAAAAAGUAGUGGUCCUGACGGGUUUCUUCUAGUCAUAAACUAUAAAAACCUGCCAGAAGUAAAUAAAAGAAAAUUUAGUAAUAUAAACAAAAAUAAAAUUUAAAUUUAAAUUGCAAUAAAAUAAAUGGCUAAAGUAAUAAAAAUUGAGUGUUCCUAAUAUCUUAGUUCCCCGGCAAUGGCGCCAAAAACUUGAUGUGAACAAAUCGCGAUAAGUUUUAUAUUAAUGAAUGAUCGUACUUGAAAACUAACUAUUAUUACGAUAAAGGCAAGCGCACCUAUCGAACAGUAGUAUAGUUUAUAGCAAGACCGGAAUGUCGAACCCACAGGAACUAAAAGUACUAGUAUUAACUUUCUUUUUAUUAUCUAGCCUAAAAUAAAAGGGUUGUUUUAUCUACACUAAUUAACUAAACUAAGAAUGCACAGGAAGUAAGUUGAGGAAAUACUUUGGGAAAACUGAUUGACUUAGACAAUACCCAAGGAAAAAUCCACCUAGACUUCACUUGUUAUUUAACUCUGAACUAGACGAUUUACUCACUUGACUUGAUCCGUAGAAAUCCCUAAUUUGUAUUAUUAUCUCUCUCGAGACUAACAAUGUCUAACCCUAGGUUGAUUAAUUGAAAUCUCUUUCUAAUUAAAACCCCUAGUGUUGCAUUAACUUGAUCUAUAGAUUCCCUUAUUAGGUUUCACCCUAAUCCGGCAAAAUUAUGUCGCCCUAUGUCUAAGGGUGCAAUCAACUCCACCUAAAUAUGCUAGAUUUACUCUUAGACAUGGACUUUUGCUCCUAUGAAUAAGCACAUCAAUACUUGAAUUAAUAUCCUGAAAUAUUAAAGUAAGAAUUACGAACACAUAAUUAAGAACAAAUCAAAUAUUUAUCAUAUAAUUCAGAAACUAUUAACAAGAUCUGUCUUAGGUUUCAUUCCUCUUAGGUACUUAGGGGAUUUAGUUUAAUUUGUAAAAGAUAACAUCUCAGAAUAAUAAUAAUAACAAAACAUAAAGAAAACCCAAAAACUCCUGAGGGAAAUUGAAGGGAGAUCUUCAGUCUUGAAGGAGAAUCCAACUUCUGAGAUGGAUCAAUCGACUUUCAUUGAGUAAUUCCUUGCCUCCUACUCCGUGUGUCCCUUAAUUACUUCCUCUGGGGUGUUAAUAUAGACUUUAGAAUGCCCAAGAACCCACCAAAGUGGCCUUUUUCCGAAUAGAACUAAACUUGGGCUCGAUAGGGACACGCCCGUGUGCGAUUGCUUCAAACCGUGUUAAAAGUUGUUGAAUAGACACAGGAGUGUGGUCUACCCGUGUGAAGAAGUCUAGGCCGUGUUAGAGUCUGCCAAAACUACACGGGUGUGUGGUCUACCUGUGUACGGAAGUCCAGGCCGUGUUGAUUUAUCACGUUGACCCAUUUUCUCCGUUUUUAGCCCGUUUCUCGCUCUUUUUACUUUCCUGUGCUCACCUAAGUAUAAAAUAUGAAAUUAAAGGAUUAGGAGCAUCGAAUUCACCAAAUCUAAGGAUAAUUCAUUAAAAAAUGUGCUAAGCAUGAGAUAAAAAUAUGUAUAAAUUAUGAUUUAUCAAAGCAUAAACAGAUAAGAAUACACUUAAGCAAAAGAAAGACAAUGAGCACACAAGUGUAUACAAGAGAAUUAUGAAAGUAUUGAAUACAAGUGUAUACAAUCUUAAAUAUUGUUUGUUGUUGUUGUAGGAACUUUAGAAGGUAAUAUUUAUACUCCCUAAUUGAUUUCCAACCAUUGAGGUUGUUGUGGUAGUUAAUAGAGCCAUUGGGGAUGUGAAAACCAGAGUACUUAAUACACCUGUAGUACUGAGUAUCGAUACUAGAUAAAAAUGUAUCGAUAUUUUUUGUAAUAAAUGCUAAAUUUAGUGACUAUUGGAGAUUAACUAUCAAUUCCAAUACAAUUUUAUCGAUACUUUAUGAAAUUGUAUCAAUACAGUAUCGAUACUUUAUAGGUUCUGAGAAAAACAUAAUGCCAUUUUGAUAUCAAUUUUCCAAUUGAAUAGAAUGUCAUCGGAGAUAUUUUAAUUUUAUGAAUUUUUAAUUAUUUAUUUAAUUUAAACUGGAUUGAUCAAUUAAAUCGAUCGAAUUUGAAUAUCGAUAACUUGAUCGAUUCAAUUACAAAUUAGAUUCAAUGCAAACGUAGUCAACUAUUAUAAUUAAAUAAAAUGCGUAGGUUUUGAAAUAAAACAAACUAAAUAGAAUUUAAAAGAAUAAAUAUAUAUCCUUAAAUCCAUACAAAUAUGUUUGACUAAGAAAAUCAAAUUGGAGCUAAAAUUAUUAAUGUGGUUGGGUUGAAUAAUAAAAAAUAUAAAAUUUUUAAAGAAAACAACGUUGUCAAUAAAAAGCUAAUUUAAUUUAACAUUAAAUUUAAUCAAAUUCAUAUUUAAAAAAAAUAUAAAAAUAGAAAAGACAAGGUUGCAAAGGGCAAUAGAAAUUGGGUAAGGAAGCAACUGAAAAAACUGUCAGAAGUGAUUUUGGUUUAUUAAAAAACAUGGGGCCUUUUAGUGGUUAGAAGGAAAAACCAGACACUGCAAAACCAUAAUAAUAAAGGAGGCAUACAAUGUUUAUUUGGCAUGUCAAUGAUUCAUCACUGCCCCACAAAUCAUGCCCACUCAACCCUACCAUCAACUUAUAAAAUAUUGUUUAAUUUCAUGAUUUUAUUAAUAAAAAAUUAAAAAGUAAUUUUAGACCAAAUCUAAGAUUCAUAACUUUUCUUUAACAAAAAUCGAGAAUUGGAAAUGAAUUCGGAUUAAUCUAAGUUUAUUUUUUUAUUUAAUUUUUAAUUAGUUUUAAUUUUGGUAUUAUAAAACAGUCUUUAUUUUUAAAUUAAUGAAAAAAAAUUCUACAAAACUAUAUUAUUUUAAAAUUUUAAAAAUUAAGAAAGUAACAUAUGAUAUUUGCAAUUUUGAUUUAAUUUUUUCAAGAAAUAAAAAUAUUAUAUAAAAUGGAAUCAUCAAAUUCCCAAAAUCACCUUCUCUAUUUCUUUCAAGAUUAGUGGCAUCGAGAUGAUCGUAUUUAAUACAUUAAUAAAAUAGUGUAUUGGAAAUAAGGCAAAGGCUAUUUUUUUCCCCCAAUAAGAUAACCCCAAAGAUUGAAUAAAUAACUUAGGUUGGUUUUAAUGAAAUCCAAUCAUACAACAAAAUCCACCUUUAAAAAUCCUAACAUAGAUUAUACCUAUCUAAGGUUAAUGAUUAGCCUAUUGGAUUCUUUUUCUUACUUUUGAUUAUCAUUAGCUUGCUCAACUUUUAAAUAAAUUUAAGUUAAAAGCAAAAAUAAAAGCUUUAUCUUCGAUUGAAUUUUAAUUCAAUUGGUAUUAAUAUUUUUAUUAAUGUAAGAGAAUACCAAUUCGAAUACGCUAAAAUACAUUAUUCUUCUAUUUAUAAAAUGAAAAAAUUAUUAAAUAAUUUUAAACAUUGUAUCAAACAUAACAAAUAUAAUCAGAACUUCUAAUGAAAUUGUUCAAAAAUAUAAUAUAUAUUGCUAACAAUUUCUCGAAAAAUAACCCACUAAUUCCAUUCCUUUCUCUACAACCUUUCAAGCUCCCAAAUUAUUUGAAUUUUGCUAUUCAAUUUUAAUUUAAAAUAACUUGAAGAUAAAAUUUAAUAAAAAUAUUUCUAUUUUAAUAUUUAACAAUAAUAAAUUUAAUUAUUAUAAUAUUAAAAUUCAAUAAAAAUGACUAUUAUAAAAAUAAACUUAUCUUUUCUUUUAUGAUAGAUGUAUUUUUAUAGUUAAAUAAACUCCAAAACCUAUAAAUUUUACUGAUGAAAUUCCUCCAUUCUAAUAUUAAAAUAAAAUUAUUUACAUAAAUUUGCAUUUUAAUGCCUACGUGAAUUUGAUAAAAAUGAUUUAUUAAACAAAAAUAAAAUAACAUUUUUUUAAAAGUACAACAAAAUAAUAUUUUUAUAAAAAAAAUAAAGUGAUUGUAUACAUAAGAAAGAAAACAACUUACCUACUAAAACAAUGCACAUAAUUCAAAUUUAUUCAAUUAAGAUAAUUUGUUUAAAGGGAUUCAAUCAAACAAUAUAUUAUUCACGAUUAAGGUUUAAUUUAAUUUUCAAAUACAAAUAAAAUGAACAAGACAAAGACUUGAUAUUUAAAUUAAAUUUUUAUUUAAUUUAAAAAUAAAAGUAAUUAAUUAUUAAAAUAAAAAAAUCAAACCACGUAAUGGGUGAUAUUACUAGUUAUUUGAUUAUAUAUAUAAAGGCAAGAGAGAUGGCCUUAAAAGGAACUGAAUAAUGUGCAAAAUCACAAUACUAUAUGGUUAUGCUUUAAACAUGUUCUUUGUGCAGUUUCAACUUUGUGAAUGUUUCGGUACCCAAAAAGAAAGCACCCAAUUACAUCAACAAGUUCAAAGUUUUAACCAAAAUAAUUAAAAACAUAUCCAGCACCAGACCACAUCAAAAGGCACCAAAUGAGCCCUAAAAAUCAACAUUGUUAAUAAUAAUAAUAAUAAUAAUAAUAAUAAUAAUAAUAAUAAUAAUAAAACCUUCUUACUUUCCAAAAAACAUACUAUUCAUAUGAUAUACAAAACCGGAAAUAGGAUGGCAAAAUAUUUAACAAGAAUUUCCAAAUAAACAUUUUUCUCCCUACUAAUUACUUUUUCUCUACUUCAAAUUCUCUACUUGUAGGACUAAGUAAUUCCCAUUUAUUAGAGUUAUAUUCUUAAGUAAUAUUUUGUCCACUCUCUUGCUGAUUUCAACAAGCUAAUAGCUCACUUAGUAAUCACAUUCACUAUCUCAAAUCAAAUUCAGCCUAUUGAAUAAAUCUAUCCUCACUUAGUAAUAGUUAUAUUUUCUGCACUUUCAUCUUGCUUCUUAUCAUAUGCAUGUUGCAAAAAUUUCUGUUCAGUAAGAUGAGAAAACCUUGUAAACCAUUAAAACAAGAUGUUGCAUGAAGACAGAAAGGAAGACUAAAAGGAACAAGUGCGGUGAUGAAGGCUGUACGUUCCCAAGACCAGUUAAAUCAUGAUGCUCGUACCAAUCGUACAGAAUUUCUUGAGAGCCAAACCUUCAUCUCUGGGACAACUUUAUAGCCUCUUCGAGUGAAGUUAAAAGGGCUGGGAAUUUAUUAGGAAAGCACUAAUAUGAAAGUAACACCAAUCAUGAGUAGUGAGAGAGACGGAGAUUAUUGAAAGUAAUUUUGGGGGGGGGAUGGAAGUCAAGUAGAAGUUACAACCUAAGUAAUAGUUUGGUCAUAGGUAGGCCUGCUCACAAGUCGAGCCUAGACAGGAUACUAACAUCUUUCACGUUUGGCUAGGCCCCUAACCCAGCACAAAAUAUGGGCAAUAUCAUUCGACUAGAACCAACCCUAAUUACCAAAAGCGAGCCAUUCUUGGCCCAACACAACCCACCCAAUUUCUUUUUCUAAUUUUAUUUAACUGGCAGUCAAGCUUUACUUUGUUUACUUAUUGUUCCAGGUUAUUAUAAUCCUUAUCAAUAAUGGCAUUUUUACGUGUGGUAUCCAUCACUGACAAAAGGACAUCAUUUUACUAAAUCUUCACUUGCCUAUAGGUAAUGACCUCGCUCUGAUAUUUUAGGCAGAAACAUUGUCAUAGUCUACCAACUUCCUAAGUAGGAAUUUAAGCCUUUGUUUAGAUCAGGAUUUUUUAUUUUCUUGUUGGAAAAAAAACUAGAAGCAACUAUUGGGGCCUGGGGGUAAGGCAAGACAGAACUUGAGUUCUAGUUCUCUAAAGGUGCUAGGAGCCUCGUACCAUUUAAAACAACAAAUAGAGCAGACAUUUUCACAGAAUGCAAAUCCAACGCCUGAUUCGUCUACUCCAUACCUUAGCAUUACUCAAGUUUUAUACAGGAAGUUCCAGGCUCACUAUCAAAUUCUUAGUGAUAAGAAGAGCAAACAAAAUGCAAUGACAGGAAGUAUUGGCAAAUGAAAAAUCCGUCAAUUUACAAGGAUGGGAAUAAUUAAGAUGUGGUAGUGAUGUGAAGGGCGCACUAACCUUCAUUUAGAGCAAACCAAAUGCAAUGGCAAGCAGCAUUGGCAAAUGAAUAAUUAUGAUGUAGUAGUGAUAUGAAUGGGGCUCUAACCUUCAUUCAGAACAAAAAUAUAUCACAAAUAUCUUUGGAUCGAUAUGGAACAGUGAUGGCAGAUUGAUGCUCUGCAGCUGCAUGAAUCCCUCCCUGCUCGUUGCACCACAUAUUAAAUCUUAAGUACUCAAAACUCAUAUCGAUAUGGUUGACCCAACCCAAAAUACAUUCAGCCAUUGCCCAAACGAAACAGAGUGCCACCCUGUGGUGGAGCCGCUGGAAAUUCUGAUGACUAUUUGACGGGCAAAUGUUUCCUAUCAAGCAAAUUAUACGCCUCCAAAGAACGGAACUUACCAGAAUAAUUAUAAAUGACAGUAUACAGGACAUCGUCCACGAUUGUCGCUAGGGGUGUUCAUUCGGUUAACCGACCGGUUAACCGACCCGAAAUUACUAUAACCGAAUUAACCGACCUUCCAAAAAUUUUAACCGUUAACCGAACCGAUUUUUUUUAAAAAAAAUUUAACCGAACCGAAAUUUUUUCGAUUAAUAAGGUCGGUUAACCGAAUUAACCGAAAAUUAUGUAUUUUUUAUUUUUGGUUAAAAAUUACCCGAAUUACCCGAAUUACCCGAAUUAACCGAAUUAACCGAAUUAACCGAAUUACCGAAAAAUACCCAAAUUUUUUUAUUUUUUAUUUUUAAAAUUUAAAAAAUUUAUAAAUUAUUAAAGUAAAUUGGGUUUUAGACUUUAGUAAAUUGGGUUGUCUUUUAGUUUUAGUUUUAGUUUUAUUGGAUUGGGUAAUUGGGUAAACUUUAGUUUUAGUUUUAUUGGGUUGGGUAAUUGAGUUUGGGUUGGGUUGGAUAAUUUUAUUUAUUAAUUUUUUCGGUUAACCGAAAAUUUUCGGUUAACCGACCGGUUUCGAACCGAAUUAACCGUUAACCGAAAAAUCAUAAAAAAAUUAACCGACCCCCGACCGAAAAAAUUCGGUUAACCGACCGAUUAAUCGAAUUCGGUCGGUUAACCGAAUUUUUUCGGUUUUACCCGAAUUAUGCACACCCCUAAUUGUCGCUGUGUCAGACCAGUAACAAAAUUUUUGUUCGAGGCAAACCUAUGAUUUACGAUCAUAGUGAUUAGCGUAAAGAGUAUCACUGGCAUGGCAGUGCACCAAAAUCCGAGAUCGGGAAGAAUCUAGAAUAGGAACACAUAUAUCGAUAGCUUCCGGAGGGGGCGACAAUGGUUCCCAAAAAUCCCCACUUAUAUCGUAAACCUCGCCAAAAGAUUCAGAAACCAAAUAUUGGAAGACGUAAAUCUUUCAUUCAGCAGCAAUAACCAGGGGAAAAACCCGAGGGAACAACAUAGAAGUAGUUUUUCUCCACCCACGUUCAAGGUCCUUUAAAUCUAAUUGGAAAACAUCGUUUACUCCAUCAUAACCACGAAAAUUAGCAUCAUUUUCGCGCAUUCCCCCAAUAACGUAAACGUGAUUGCCACAGGAAACGGCAGUGGAACAUGAAGGAGCAUCAGGUGGCAUCGCCUUAAUAAAGACUUUAUUGCUUUCCAGAUCAAUAAAGUGCAAACCGUGCGUUAUUUUACCACCGAUAUCCGGCCAUUUCUGGACGAGGGCCCUGACCAGUUCAUCUGGCUCUCUCCCAUCAAAGUAACUGGAGGAAUCACUAGUAUCGCCGCUCAUGGUUCCCCCUCAGCUUCGCCUUUCCAGAUCCAAAAUCGCUUUUAGUUUUGGGUUUCUAACUUCGGGUUAUUUCUUUUUUCUUUUUUCUUUUUUUUAAUUUGGUUUGGGUUUAAUAGUCAUUGAGAAAAAAAGAUUUAUAGUUAAAUAAAUUUGAUGACAAGUUAUUCAAUUAUCUGUUUCAAGAAGUAAAAGGUUGAUAAUUUUUUUUAAAAAAAAUUGUAAUUUGCUUGUUUUAGUUGUUAAUUUCCAAACUAAAGAUAUUCUCAAUAUGUGACUGUUUGUAAUUUAAAAUUAUUUAUUAAUUAUGAUUAUUUUUAAUGAAUAUAAAAUAUUAUUAUUUUGUAUCAAAUGUUAGAGAUUUGUUGAAAUUUGAUCAACCAUUGGAUUAAUUGAAUCUGGAGUUAAUAGGUAUAUUAAUUUGAAUGAAACAAAAAAUCGGUUCGCAUGUUUUGAAUAAGUUGAAUCGGAUUAAAUUGAUGAUUAAUUUCUUUAUUAUUUACUUAAUAUGAUGAUUUAGAGUAUUAAAAAAGAUGUGGAAAUGGGAAGCUUAAAGUUUUGGGUUUUUUGUUUAGUGAGUAAAUAAAAAUGUUGACUUUUUAAGCUGAUAGCUUUGUUUGUGUGUGUAUAUAUAUAUAUAAAAAUUUGCAUAUGCUUUCUGUGAUAAUUAUAUUUGUAGGUGUUGGGCUAGCUUCCAAAAUCUAACAUUAUUUUUUAUACGAGUUUCCUUUUCUGACUUUCAUUGCACUUUGUCUCUAUUCACAUGGUUUCCUUCAAUUAGUUAGAUGCGUUGAAGUUGGACUCCCGGCUUUGAUAGCAGUGAUAUCCCAAUCUCAAAAUUUUGACAGCAGCUGGUGCUUAUGAUAAUAGUGUUUAAAAAACUGAGUUCACUUGUUGUCCUGAUCGUUCUAGCCUCAUUAGUGUUGCAUCUUGUCCUUCGGGAAAGCUAGUUCAAAUCGAGCACCCUUGUCGGCAAUCGAAUCGGGUCAAACAUCUCUUAGAAUCAAAGCUGCUAAUGGGUUAGUAAUUGCUAUUGAGAAGAAAUUACCUUCGAUCUUGGUUUAGUUGUUAAAAAAAUAGUGUCUGACACCAACUGUUGAAGUUAUUUACAAUGUUGGGCAGGUUUUAGCAUUUUGGAUCAAGUUAACAUAAGGUCUUUCUAAACUCGAACAAAACUUCAGGAAGCAAAGUAAGGCAUUGAUUGGUUCUCUUUCCAUUUAACAAUCAAUCCAUUAAAGCUAUUUUAAUUCGCUCAAAUAACAUUCAGGUCGCCUACUUGAGAAGGCCACAAUUACAGAGACCAUAACAAUAAUGAGAAGAGAAAGGGAGUCUCAGUCUCAAAGUCCUAUGUCCAAUACGUUAAAGGACCUUUUCUGAUAUCAACCAUGACAUCUUCCAAAAGAACCAACAGUUGCUCCAAAAAGCACCGUUGUCUCUAAAAUGAAAAGACACUAAGUUCGGACAUCGGAUUGAAUAGGGAGCAGCAAAAUGAUUUGGUGAAGGAUGUUAUCAUGUAAAUGACUAAUGAAAUCAUUCGAGUCCAUACUAUUAUUACUUUUCGGGAUAUUGACAUGUUUGUAUGAUUUCUCUUGAUUAUUAUGCAUGCACUUGCAUAUCUUGAUAUAGGAUAAGAUAUAAAUAGCCUUUAAAGUUGGAUUUUGCGAGUAUAACUAUGGGUUUCGAACUACUGUCGAAUCUGCACUUGUUGAGAUAGUCAUAUUUAUGUUGGUAUCACUUCAUGCAAAUAUGUUUUCCUCCUGCGAGUUUGAUUAUCUAUCACGAUACCUUGGAUUGGAACAAAUGGUGUUAUUGUACGUGAGCAACAGGAAAAAGCUAUUUGGAAAACUGCACAAUAAGGAGCAUCCUUGGAUUUUUUGCGCCACACCUCUUUAGUGAUGGCGUUUUCCAAGUACAAUUCAUUGAAAAUCAGACAUUUAGUGAACUUGUAGAUUUCCUAAACAUUGCACCAGAAGAUUUCGUUAUGAAUAAGCAUUCAUCUGUUGACGAUGAGGUUUUUUAUGAGAUAGAUCGCCAAAAGACAUGGAAUAUCCAUUUGAAUUAUUCGUCUUUUCUGUAAUCCCAUAAAAGUUUUGAUACUAUGAGUUUGCAGUUGGUGUGGAUCUUUUAGAACAUGGUCCCAAAUAUGAUCUGAUAUCGAUGUUAUGUGCUACAGUUUGGUUCUCCUCGCCUUCCUAAGGGACAUUAGUUUACUAUUCAUGGAGUAUCUUGAUGCUUUAUUCUUGCAUGCUCUAUGUGUGAGUAUAGAUCCGACUUAUAUCUUUUGGGCUGUCAAGUUGAUUUACUAUCAUGAUUUUUUGCUUUCUUAUGGUUCGCUUGAUUUAAUAUCACGAACUUUGGCUUUCUGACAACUUAUGGACCUACGCUCCUAACUGAUUAUUAAGGUUAGCAGAGUUAAGCUCGUAACCUCCGAUCUUUUGAGUUAACAGAGUUAAUCUCGUAACCUCCGAUUUAAUUUAUAAACAAAUUCUAUCUUACAAGAAAUACAGUUCGCAAUAUUCUGCAAUAUAAUUCUUGACUCCUGUAUCACACUAUCAAACAACAAAACUCACUCGAUAAAGCUUCAAGUUAAAACCUGUAUGAUUAACACAAAUUUGCCGUAAGGCAUUUGCCAUGGUGGAUCACUUGAAUACAUCACAACAGAUGACAACCAGCUUACUAGGUUAAUCCCUCAACGGUUGAAAAUUUGCACCAGCUUGAAGAGAGCCCACCUUGAAAAAACUGACUUAGAGGGAAUAUAUCUAAAUAUUUAAGUGUUUACCCGAACCUAAAAUUCAUUGACUUGACAAUGAAUUUCAAGGUGUAGUGUCUUCCCAUUGUAGGUUGUGCAAAAGUUGACAUCUUUGGUUUAUCUUGGUUUGAAUGGGAACAAACUAUCUGGUAAUGUACCCUUGGAACUAGGACUUAUGUCCAAGCUUUCGUAUCUAGACUUGUCUGCAAACCAAUUGAGCAAGUCCAUCCCUAAAACUUUCAGGUUAAAAUAAUCAGCAAAAUAUCUCUACUAGUACUUGUAUUUUAUGAAAGCUGCGGAUUCAGGCCCAAUACUGUAAAUUGGGUUGGGUUUAUAAAUUAUACUAAAUUAGGUUUAUUUUGGGUAGGACUUAGGAGUGUUGGGGUGAGCCGUUGGUUAGGGAUUAGGUGGGCAGUACGCUAAGCCUAAUACAUGUAAUAUAUGAUAUUAGUUAUUAAGUUCGAUUAAUCUGUUUAAUUACUUGCUUUCGAGCUAAAUUAACCAAUAAUUAAACUUUUUAAAAAUUAUUAACCAACUUCUAAUCGAAUUAAAUUAGUAAACUGACCGAUUAAUUUUAACCGAAAUUUAAACACCCCUAAAUCUGUUACUCUAAUAUGAUGAUCUUUAAAUUAUUUUUUUAUAAAUGUAUUUGUUUUAAUAGAAUAUAUAUUUAAAAUGGUAUAAAAAAGUAUGAAUUUGUCAAAUUCAUAUAUACCUGAUGAACCCAAAUCAACUGGUUAGUAGGAAUCCAACAAAUUCUUAUUUUUAAGAAAUAAUCACUCAAUCUAUAUAUAUAUAUAUAUAUAUAUAUAUAUAUAUAUAUAUAUAUUAUAUUUUGUAUAUAUAUGUUAUCACUCAAUCUGUAUUUUUUUUUUAAAUUCAAAUCCAAAAUUUAAAACUAAAUUCCCAAAUCCUACAUAAAUUGAAUAGUAAAAUACUUCUAAAUAUUUCAUGAUUAUUUCUAAAUCCAUCGAUUUGUUAAAUGCUUAUUUAGUAGAAAAUUAAAAUUUCUUAAAUUAUUUUGGGCUAAUAUGCAAAAUUAAGUGAAAUUUAAAAUUUACCACUAUACAUCACUUUCACCAAUAUUUUAAAAUUUUAAAAUUUUUUAUAGGGCCAUAACAAUUUUCUAUUUUAGAGGUUUGGCCCCCCAUCAAUCCCCAGGAUUCGCUUCUGACUACAAAAGUUUAAUUUAAUUUUCAAAUACAUUUAUUUAAUUUAAAAAAUAAAAAUUCAAACCACUUAAUGGGUGUUAUUUGAAGGGCAAGAGAGAUGGCCUUAAGAGAAAUGAAUAAAGUGCAAAAUCACAAUACUAUAUUGUUUUAACUUUGUCAAUAUUUCGAUAUCCAAAAAGAAAGCACCCAAUUACAUGAACAACUUCAAAGUUCUAACCAAAAUAAUUGACCGCGUCUUCAAAGUCUCUCUUCACCAUCAACAUGGGUCUUGACUCAACUCCAUGCACCAACACGUUCCAGCUGAGGCCUAAAAGGAAGAGAAAAAAUAUCUGAGAUUAGGAAUAUAAUUUUAUAUCAUUGCAGUGAAAAUUGAAGGCUUAAGGGACAAAAACCAAAAAUUGAACCCCUAGACGUUAGAAUUAUAAUAAAUUAAGCCCUUUUAUCAUUACAGUUAUCCAUCAAAGUUACAAAGUCAAAAGUGCCAUUUUUUUUGCUGGUUGUUUUCACCACAUGGAAAAAACUAGUAUUUAAUGUAUAAAACAUUAAAAAAAUCAACAAACAUUUAAAAAAAGUUAUAGAAAAUCGUAUACACACAUAUCCAUCAGCAGACCACAUCAACAGGCCCGAAAUGAGCCAUAAAAAUCAACAUUGUUAAUAAUAAUAAAAGCUUCCAUGACCUUUUACAGCAAUGAAAAGUAAGUAAGAUUAUUAUUAUUAUUAUAGCUCACAACUACCAACAAAACAAACACAUCGGAGAAACGAUCUCCAUAAUCUAUUAAUGGUUUUUCAGAUAUACAUCUACAGUCUGCAGCAUUCUAUCUUCAUAUGUAAUUCAUUCCAUUUUCAUUUUUGACUUCUUACGUGUUGGAGCUUCAUCAGUCAAGCACGCAAGAACAAAAUCAAAGAAACGAGGAAAAAAUAAUACAGAUAUAAUUAUCACUCCCAAACCUUUUUACUUUCCAAGAAAGCAUACGAUUCAUAUGAUAUACAAAACCGGAAAUAGGAUGGCAAAAUAUUUAACAGGAAUUUCCAAAUAAACAUUUUUGUCCCCUACUAAUUACUUUUUCUCUACUUCAAAUUCUCUACUUAUAGGACUAAGUAAUUCCCAUUUAUUAGAGUUAUAUUCUUAAGUAAUAUUUUGUCCACUCUCUUGCUGAUUUCAACAAGCUAAUAGCUCACUUAGUAAUCACAUUCACUAUCUCAAAUCAAAUUCAGCCUAUUGAAUAAAUCUAUCCUCACUUAGUAAUAGUUAUAUUUUCUGCACUUUCAUCUUGCUUCUUAUCAUAUGCAUGUUGCAAAAAUUUCAGUUCAGUAAGAUCAGGAAAACUUGUAAACCAUUAAAAUAAGAUGUUGCACGAAGACAGAAAGGAAGACUAAAAGGAACAAGUGCGGUGAUGAAGGUUGUACGUUCCCAAGACCAGUUAAAUCAUGAUGGUCGUACCAAUCGUACAGAAUUUCUUGAGAGCCAAACCUUCAUCUCUGGGACAACUGUAUAGCCUCUUCGAGUGAAGUUAAAAGGGUUGGGAAUUUAUUAGGAAAGCACUAAUAUGAAAGUAACACCAAUCAUGAGUAGUGGGAGAGACGGAGGUUAUCAAAAGUAAUUUUUGUGGGGAGGGUCGAUGUCAAGUAGAAGUUACAACCUAAGUAAUAGUUUCGUCAUAAGUAGGUCUGCUCACAAGUCGAGCCUAGACAGGAUACUAACACCUUUCACGUUUGGCUAGGCCCCUGACCCAGCACAAAAUAUGGGCAAUAUCAUUCGACUAGACCCAACACUAAUGACCAAAAGGGAGCCAUUCUUGGCCCAACACAACCCACCGAAUUUCUUUUUCUAAUUUUAUGUAAGUGGCAGUCAAGCUUUACUUUGUUUACUUAUUGUUCAAGAUUAUCAUAGUCCUUAUCAAUAUUGACAUUUUAACUGUGGUAUCCAUCACCGACAAAAGGACAUCAUUUUACUAAAUCUUCACUUGUCUAUAGGUAAUGACCUCGCUCUGAUAUUUUAGGUAGAAACAUUGUCAUAGUCUACCAACUUCCUAAGUAGGAAUUUAAGCCUUUGUUUAGAUCAGGAUAUUUUAUUUUCUUGUUGGAACAAAAAACUAGAAGCAACUAUUGGGGCUUGGGGGUAAGGCAUGACAGAACUUGAGUUCUAGUUCUCUAAAGGCGCUAGGAGCCUCGUACCCAUUUAAAACAACAAAUAGAGCAGACAUUUUCACACAAUGCAAAUCCAACGCCUGAUUCGUCUACUCCGUACCUUAGCAUUACUCAAGUUUUAUACAGGAAGUUCCAGGCUCACUAUCAACUUCUUAGCGACAAGAAGAGCAAACAAAAUGCAAUGACAAGCAGUACUGGCAAAUGAAAAAUCCGUCAAUUUACAACGAUGGGAAUAAUUAAGAUGUGGUAGUGACGUGAAGGGGGCACUAACCUUCAUUUAGAGCAAACCAAAUGUAAUGGCAAGCAGCAUUGGCAAAUGAAUAAUUAUGAUGUAGUAGUGAUAUGAAGGGGGCUCUAACCUUCAUUCAGAACAAAAAUAUAUCACAAAUAUCUUUGGAUCGAUAUGGAACAAUGAUGGCAGAUUGAUGCUCUGUAACUGCAUGAAUCCCUCUUUGCUCGUUGCACCACAUAUUAAAUCUUAUGUACUCAAAACUCAUAUCGAUAUGGUUGACCCAACCCAAAAUACACUCAGCCAUUGCCCAAACGAAACAGAGUGCCACUCCUUGGUGGAUCCACUGAAAAUUCUGAUGACCAUUUGACGGGAAAAUGUUUCUUAUCAAGCAAAUUAUACGCCUCCAAAGAACAAAACUCACCAAAAUAAUUAUACAUGACAGUAUACAGCACAUCGUCCACAAUUGACGCUGUCGUAACCAUUUUUUAGGAAAAUCGGGUAUCGACUUGGAUUUUGAUAAUGAAAAUGAAUAGAGAAGUCGCCACCGAUCCUUUUUGACGAGGUGUGAUCGGGUCACCUUGUAAAAGUGGUUGUUUUUAAUAAAUAGUUUGAUUUAUUUAAACAGCAAUUUUGGUCUACGCAAAUCAAGAAAACAGGUUCGGGAGUCGGUUAUGCACGAGGAAGGAUUAGCACCCUCGAUACGCCCAAAAUUGGUACCUAGUUGAUUAAUUAGUGUCUUAGUGUCGAGAAUUUAAAAACUUGAAAGAAUUCUGAAAUACGAUCCCUUUUUUUAUAAAAAAGUUCAAGUGUUAAAGACCUUCUCGUCUCAAAAUAUGAAAUGUCACAUCCAGUGAGUUAGGACACGACAUCUUGAAUUUUGAGAGCGAGCUUGCCUUUUAUAUAAAACUUACGUUUUUUAAUUUGUUAGAAGGGUAUUCGUUUAUUUAGGGUAAACGAGAAAAAUCAAAACCCAGUAAGUUAGGGUACAUUUUCCCGAGUUCUCAAACACCGAAUAUUGCCUUUGUUUUAAAACAAAUUCAUAUUUCGAGGUGACGAAAUGUCAUACCCGGUAAGUUAGGGCACAACACUUCGUAUCUCCGAGAACGAGCAUUUUCAAAACUCGUAUAGCAAUUUAAAAGAGUAUUCCGUUAUUUAGAUUAAAUGAGAAAAAUCGAAACCCAGUAAGUUAGGGCACGAUUAUCUCGAAUUAUCAAAUACGGAAUAUCACUUUUAUGAAAGAAUUAUUUUAAGGCAUUGAGUAAAAACAUAAAGUGAUUCAUAGUAAUAUAUAAAAGCAGAUCAUGAUAUUAUUAACGUAUAAUAGUGAGUGAUAAUAACGAGUAAUUUUGAAAAGAUGACGUAGAAGCAAGGUUAGUAAUAUAUAAAUAUAAACAAAUGCGUGAGAAAAAUGAAAUGAUCGAAUACAUAAGUAAAUUAACGAAUAAAUGAAUAUAAAGAUGGCGAAAUAAAAUGAUAAUGAUGGCGGUAAUAAUAAUAUAAAAGCGCAUACAUAUACGUAUCAAAGUACCUACGUAAUAAUAGAAGUAAUAAGAAAUAUAAAAAAUAUAUAUACAUAACAAUAAUAGUACGAUAUUAAAAGACACAUAUGCAUGGUAUAUAUAAAAAUGUACAAGUAAUAUAAUAAAAAUUACAUGGUAUAUAUACAUGUUAGUAAUAAUAAUUAUGAUGAUACAAAUAAUGAAUGAUUUAAAGUUUGAGAGAAUUUACAAAGGUAUAAAUAAAUAAGUGACGAAACGAUAAUAAUGAGAAUAAUGAUAUAUAUAAGUGACAUAAGUACGUUAAAAUACGUAUAUAUAUAUUUUCAAUUAGUUAAUAUAAAAACAAUAGCAUAUAGUUAAUUACAUAUAAAAAAGGUUAUAGUAAUAAAAGUAAUAAUGCAAUAGUGAUAACAGUGAGAGGUACAAUAGUAAUUAUAGUAAAAAUGAAAAAAUAAUGAUAAUAAUAAUAAAAACAUUACAUAAAUAUAUGGAAAAUAAAUAUAUGAUAAAAUCAAAUGUAUAUACAUAACAUGUACGUGUAAUACAAAACAAAAUAUACACAUAAUAUAUUAAAACAUAUACAUGACAUACAUAAUAUACAUGGUAGAACAUAAUAUUAUAUAUACAAUAUAUAAAAAUUAUAACAAAAUGACAUACAUGAUAUAACAUUAAUUUACAUGGGCAUAAUGUGAAAUAUAAUAUACAAAUAUAUUUUAAAAGUAUGUAUAUAUGACACAAAUGUAUUAACAAAAUAAUAAUAUCAAAAUUAAUAAUAAUAAUAUAUAAGCGUAUACGUAUAUAUGUUAAAUAUAUAUAAUAAAACAUAUAUUGAUAUUAAUAAUAAAUAUAGAGGUAAGAAUAGGCAUAACAAAAUGUACAUAAUAGAGUAUUUGAAUAUGUAUACAUAAAACAUAUAUUAGGAACAAUAAUAAUAUAUAUAAAACAACUAUAAAAUAUAUAUAUGUAAUAUUAAUCUAAAAAAAUGCCUAAAUAAUAAAAUAUGCUAAAAAUAAUAAUACAAGAAAGGUAAAAUAGAAUAAUGAAUAAUAUUAAAAUAAAAAAGAGUAAAAAUAAUAUGAAAAUAGUAUUAAAUAUGAAAAAGGGACUAAAUUCGGAACAAAUAUUAAGUUUUGGGGUCGAUUUUAAAAUAAAUAUGAAAGAAGGGACCCCUUUGAAUGCGCGCGCAACUGCAGAGGAUCAAAAGGGUAAUUUACCCGAACCCUUAAAACGACGUCGCAGGAGGUAGGAUUAAAUCACAAAACAUGAUGAAUUUUGAGGCCAAUUUGAAAGAAAUAAGAAGCUAAUUGCAAAACGUGUGAAAAGCGGAAGGACCGCGCGCGCAAUUAGACCAUCAUACGAAAACGCGUGGAUCUUGAGGCGGGUUGGAGCCGGGUCUCGGGUCGGGGCAGCUAAACGGAGCCGUUUCUAGAUUGAAAAGGGUCGGGAAAAACGGUGCGUUUUGCCGGCCUAUAUAAACUAAUUAUUUUUUUUAUUUCAUUUCCUUUCUCCUCUUCUAAAAAACUUCUAAUCCUCUCUUCUCUCUUUGCAGGUACCAAAAUCUGGCGAGGAGUGGGCCGGUCGCCGUCGUGUCAUCCGCCAUACCGGCCGUCGCUCCGACCACCGUACACGGUGGCUGAAAAUCACCCGUGGAUAGAUUUUUCUCCUUUUUUUGUAUUUUUUAUUUAUUUAAUAUAUGUGUUGUUUUAUUAAAAUGGGGAUAAUAUAUGUGAAUAAAUUCAAAAAGAAAAAAAGAAAAUAGACCUUAGAUUUACUGUUUUCGGUUUUUCGGUCUCUAAUAUGGGGCUAUUCCUUUCUUUUGAUGUUGCUAAAGUCUCUGUUUUUUCUUGAAAUCGAAUGUUGUUCGCUUUUUAUUUUUAAAAGAAUGCCUCCUACAAUGGUUUUUGAUUUGGCUUUUAAAUAGCCAUUACAUUUCUUUUUCUUUUAAUAUUUGUCUAUUCUUCUGUUGUUGCUGCAGGCAAACGGUGGUGGAGCAGAGGCCACUUGCAGGCGUCGGUGGUGGAUGGGGUGGGGAGCAUGUGCUGACGGCUAGGGUUUCCUUAGCUUUUUCUUUUGUUGUGUGUGUGGGCAUGGGUAGGUUUAGGGUUAUUGGCUUAAUGGGCUUAGGGGUUUUGGGCCCAAAAUUGGGCUUGUACAGCUGCCCCUCUUUGCUUGUUGUCGUGUAACGAGAACAGAGCAAAGACUUAAGAAAGACCAAUUUUGCCCGGUCUCACUGUGUCUGGACUUGUUUAGCGCUCCUUUUCUCCAGGUAGCUUUAUUCCAAUCUUGUUGCUUCGCUUCACUUCACUGCUCUACUGCAACUUCAAGAAGGUAAGGUUUGUUUUGAUCUGCUCCACUGCAACUCCAUGGAGAUAAGACACGUGACUUCAAUCAAUUCCACUGAAACUUCAAGGAGAUCUGUUGUAGCUUCGCUUAAUCCACUGAAACUUCAAGGAGAUCUGCUGUAGCUUCGAUCAAUUCCACUGAAACUUCAAGGAGAUCUGUUGUGGCUUUUAGCUUCUCCAACGCCAUUUCAGGGUGAAGAUAUUUGAUUUUCAACCUGUUACCCUACUGCUUAGGGGGUUAAGGCUUGUCAUCAUUGAUCUGUUUCCCUACUGCUUAGGGGUUUAGAUCUGUAAACUCAACCUGUUACCCUACUGCUUAGGGGUUUAAGGUUUGAAAAUUUGGCUUGUUACCCUAUUGUUUAGGGCAAUAAUAUUUAUAAACUUCAGCUUGUUACCCUACUGCUUAGGGGGUUAAAGCUUAGUGGUUUGAAUCUGCUUCACUGCAUUCGAAGAGGUAAAAUUCGAUGUAUUUGAUCUGCUCCACUGCAACUUCAGGGAGGUGAGAUCUGUGAUUUUUAGCCUAUUACCCUACUGCUUAGGGGGUUAAGGCCCAUCUUCUUUAAUUUGCUUCCCUACUGCUUAAGGUGAUAAGAUCUGCAAAUUCGGCUUGUUACCCUACUGCUUAGGGGGUUAAAGCCCUUUGAAUUUAAUCUAUUACCCUACUACUUAGGGGUUCAAGGUCUGUACAUUUAGUCUACUCCACUGCGACUUCAAGGAGAUGAGAUUUGUAACUUCAGUCUACUCCACUGAGACUUCAGGAAGACAGGAUUCGCUGGAUUUGAUCUGUUCCACUGCAACUUCAGGGAGACGAAAUCUGUAAUUUUCAGCCUAUGACCCUACUGCUUAGGGGGUUAAGAUCUGUAAAUUUAACCUGUUACCCUACUGCUUAUGGGUUUAAGGCUUGGCGAAUUCACUGAUUCUAGGGACAUGACCUGUAGAAUCAGUUCCAUGUAUUUAUGCUUAUGCCAAAGAAUUAGGAUGCUAUGAUCAAAGUGAAUCAAAUGCUCCUAAUUAGAUGCAUUACAAAUGAUCUAUAAAUGUAUGGGUGCAACAUGUGGUGAGCGUGAGUCCCUUUUAAUGUUUAGGUUGCUAUUGCUCUUUGUUCAUCAAGGUUCUUUCUCUUAAAAGGUACUCUAUCUUCUUGUUCAGCUUAAAUUUUGAACAGAAAACCCGAAUAGGUGGUCCCAAUUUAUACUCUUUCUUCUCAGAUGCUUCCAAUCUUUGAGUUUGGUUAGUUCUAAAUAAUAGUCCUGUUUUAGGUUCCUGUACUAUUUAAAACUUUCAGAGUAAUGUGCAGAACUCUUUUUGCAAAAAUGGUUUUAGUCCAUUAAUCAUCAAUGCAAAAUGCUUGAAAAAGAUCAUAACAAUGACAAAACUGAAAUUUAUCAGAAACAACAUUUGAAGGGAAUAUAUUAAUCACAGUCAACAAACAUUGCUGGAAUACAAAAUGAAUAAAAGGGACUAGGUGCCCCAGAUAUCGCAGCGUGAGUUUCUCUGUACUGACUUCUUGAAGACUCCCCUUUUUUGCCCAAUAUGUGUUUAAGGGACCUAGAGUACUCUUGCAGAUGCCCCAAGAUGUAACAUCUCUCCUUCUUGUUAAUUUAGGUACCAUAAGACCAUCGCAUGCCCUACAUUCGAUCAAAAUUUGAAUUGCCUUUUAUGGGUUUUCAAUUCAAAAUCCCUUUGGUCUCAAGGUGCUCUUCGCGAGUUUUCACCCUGGCCUCUCUCUUUUUUUUUAGGCGAAGUAUUUCUUGACCGAAUCCGAAUUCACGGGAUUGGAUAAGGUCUUGCCAUCCAUUUUAGCCAAUAUCAAUGCUCCGCGAGAAAAGGCUUUCUUCACCACAUAAGGCCCUUCCCAAUUCGGCAUCCAUUUUCCUCUGAAGUCUUUUUGUAUGGGCAGGAUCUUUUUCAGUACUAGGUCUCCCUCGUGGAACUCUCUGGGACGAACCUUUUUGUCGUAAGCUCACAUCAUUCGCUUUUGGUACAUCUGACCAUGGCGAAUAGCCCGUAGCCUCUUUUCUUCAAUCAAAUUCAACUAUCGUAUCGGGAUUGGAUCUAUUCUGCUUCAUCCAACUUUACUUCUGACAAAACUCUGAGGGAAAGAAUCUCGACCUCGAUAGGUAAGACUGCCUCCAUUCCAUAGACUAAUGAGAAAGGCGUUGCCCCAGUAGAAGUUCUGAUAGACGUUCGAUAAGCAUAGAGGGCGAAUGGUAGCUUUUCAUGCCAAUCUUUAUAAGUUUUUGUCAUCUUUCCUACAAUCUUCUUGAUGUUCUUAUUGGCUGCUUCGACUGCAUCAUUCAUCUUCGGGCGAUACGGUGACGAGUUGUGGUGUCUGAUCUUGAACUGACUAUAGACAUCCGCUAUCGUGUUAUUGUUCAAAUUCAAUGCGUUGUCAGAUAUGAUCCUUUUAGGCAUUCCAUAUCGAUAGAUGAUUUCCUUUUUCAGGAACUUGCUAACUGCUGAUUUAGUGACAUUGGCAUAUGAAGCGGCUUCCACCCAUUUGGUGAAAUAAUCGAUGACCACAAAGAUGAAACGAUGCCCAUUUGAAGCUUUUAGCGAAAUUGGCCCAAUCACAUCCAUGCCCCACAUUGAGAAAGGCCAUGGCGAAGUCAUGACAUGCAGAGGUGAGGGAGGUACAUUAAUCUUGUCUCCAUAGAUUUGGCACUUAUGACAUUUUUUGGCGUAGUUAAUACAGUUUCCUUCCAUGGUGGACCAAUAAUAACCGAACCUCAUAAUUUGCCUGGCCAUUGUAAAACCAUUAGCAUAUGUCCCUCAGACGCCCUCAUGGACUUCCUCCAAGAUUUUCUUAGCCUCAAUAGCGUCUACACAUCUUAACAGUACAUGAUCCUUUCUUCUUUUGUAUAGGAUCUCCCCGUCUAAGACAUAGUCACUGGCCAGUCUUCUCAAUGUUCUUUUGUCGUUCUCAGUAGCUUGGUCGGGGUACUCACGAUUCUUCACAUAUCGUAGGAUAUCAUGGUACCAAGGGCGAUCAUCAUUUUCCUCUUUUUCUUUGAGGUUGUAACAAUGAGCCGGGGCCUCGUAAAUGCUCAUUUGGAUUGGUUUCACAUUCUCUGGUUGGUUCACCUUAAUCAUAGAAGCUAAAGUUGCUAGGGCGUCAGCCAUCUGAUUUUCUUCUCGUGGGAGGUAGUAGAAGACAAUAUCAUCAAACUCUUUAAUUAACUCAAGGAUCAACCUCCGGUAAUUGAUCAAUUUGUCUCUUGUCUCCCAUUCCCCUUUGAGUUGAUAAAUCACUAGGGCAGAAUCUCCAUAUACCUCUAACACCUUGAUUUUACGUUCUAUGGCCGCACGUAUUCCCAUGAUGCAUGCUUCGUACUCUGCCAUAUUGUUCGUGCAGUCAAAAUCUAAUUUACUAGUGAAUGGAUAAUGAUCUCCGUUCGGGGACACCAGAACUGCCCCGAUUCCGUUACCCACAGCAUUUGAUGCUCCGUCAAAGUUUAGCUUCCAAGGGUGCUUUCUUGAGGGUCUUCUUCUGUGGUUGCUAUGCACAUUAGAUCUUCAUUUAGGAAAUAAAAGUUCAGAGGCUCGUAGUCCUCUAGGGCUCUGCUGGCUAGGAAAUCUGCUAUCGCACUUCCUUUUACGGCCCUCUGGUUCACAUAAACUAUAUCGAAUUCAGAAAGUAGAAUUUUCCAUCGGGCCAUUCUCCCGUUCAAGGCAGUCGACUCCGUCAAGUAUUUUAGAGGAUCCAUUUUAGAGAUCAGCCAAGUUGUAUGGUACAACAUGUAUUGUUUCAGUCUUCGGGUUGUCCAGAUCAAGGCACUACACAACUUUUCAAUGAACGAGUAUCUCGUCUCACACUCAGUAAACUUUUUACUGAGGUAAUAUAUCACUCUUUCUUUCCUUUCCGAUUCAUCGUGUUGGCCAAGCACACAUCCCAUAGAAUUUUCAAAUACCGUCAAAUACAGCAUCAGUGGCUUAUCUGGAUUAAGUGGUGUCAACACUGGGCAUUAGACAAAUAUUGCUUAACUUUGUCGAAAGUCUUCUGGCAUUCCUCGUCCCAACCACCAGGGUUGUGUUUCUUAAAGAGACGGAAUAUGGGGUUACAUUUCUCGGUUAGUUGUGAAAUAAACCGAGCGAUGUAAUUUAGUCUUCCUAGGAAUCCUUGAACUUCCUUCUAAGUACGUGGUGGAGGUAACUCUUGUAUGGCUUUGACUUUGUCUGGGUCAAUCUCAAUCCCUUUUUCACUGACCACGAAUCCUAACAGUUUUCCUGACCUGGCUCCGAAGGUACAUUUUGCGGGAUUGAAUUUCUAUUGGAAUUUUCUCAACCUCAAAAAUAAUUUCCUCAAGACUUGCACAUGCUCUUCUUCAGUCCGAGAUUUGGCGAUCAUGUCGUCGACAUAGACUUCAAUUUCUUUAUGCAUCAUAUCAUGAAAUAGGGUUACCAUGGCUCUCUGAUAUGUUGCUCCCGCAUCUUUCAAUCUGAACGGCAUUACUUCAUAGCAAAAGGUUCCCCACAUGGUCACAAAUGUAGUUUUAUUCAUGUCUUCAGGAUGCAUCUUGAUCUGAUUGUACCCCGAGAAACCAUCCAUGAAGGAGAAGAGUGAGUAACCUACCGUGUUGUCCACUAAGGUGUCGAUAUGAGGCAACGGGAAAUUAUCUUUCGGGCUGGCCUUGUUUAAGUCUCUGUAGUUUACACACAUCCAUACCUUUCCAUCUUUUUUAGGGACGGGGACGAUGUUGGCUACCCAUUCCGAGUACUUAACUACUUGUAAGAAACCAGCAUCAAAUUGCUUCUUGACCUCCUCUUUUAUUUUCAACAGAACAUCAGAGUGCAUCCUUCGAAGCUUUUGCUGAACUGGCUUGCAUUCUUCUUUGAUGGGGAGCCUAUGUACCACAAUGUCAGUACUUAGCCCAGGCAUAUCCUGAUAUGACCAUGCAAAGACAUCCUUGAACUCUUGGAGUAACUCAAUAAGGUCCCGCUUUGUCUCUGUGGUGAUGCAAGCUCCGAUCUUUACUUCUCUCCUUUCUAGUUCAUCUCCCAAGUUCACGACCUCUACGGUCUCUUUGUGGGGUAGAAUCUAUUUUUCCUCGUGUUAUACCAUCCUUAACAAAUCAGGGGAUAAGUUAUAGUCUCCGUCAUCCUCAAAGUCUUGGGAUCCCUCCAGACACAUAUCUCGCUCAAAAGGAGAUUCUGAAUUAGUAGCAAUGUCACUCGCAUCAUUGAUAUUUGGAGACCUAUUGUAGGUGUGAAGGAAGAUGCAAAGAACAAGAGAACCUAAGAACAAUGAUAUGUGUGGUAUGAUCAUGAAUGAAAGAAUAAAAGAAUAUUUGCACGGAAUAAGUCAAAAGGAUGCAUUUCAUUGAAAUAACGAUUUCGAACAUAAGCCUAUUUCACAAAAGGACACUUGUUACUCCUAGGCCUAGAGCAAUAAGUGUGUUUUGGACAUUACUCUGAGUUAGUUCUAAAGACUACAGGAAUCUCUUCCGCAGUCCAAUUAUUCAGAACACUUCCCGGCUCAUAGGGGCGAAUGCCUGACAAAUUCUCUACCUCCGUCCCUUAUUCAUAUGUGGCGUUGAUGUCCAAACUCUCCAUCAUUCCUUCCAAGAUUUCCUUUCCCGACAUCUUCCACUCGGAGUGAAUGACCCCUCCAGACACAAAAGUCUUCGAUAUAUGGGGGAAGAUCAUUGGUUCCCAUUCGAUUUCUCCCCCGCUCAAUCGCGUUCUCCUUCUUUCUUGCUUCUUCUCAAGUUCUUUCUUUAUUUGUUUUAUGAUCUGCUUAAACCCUAACCCAAAAUGGUCUUGAUUUUUCUUCAUCAUUGGUACAUUAAUCCUUCCUUGGAGGUAUCUCCCGAGUCCUCUUCCGGGUAGAGCCCAUUUUCCAAUAGUUAGCCGUAGUCCCUUUCUUGUAGUCUCAGAUAACCUGGGCAUUGGAAUCUUAUUCCUUCGAUAAUGAACGUCGCGUUCACAAACUCUAAAGAUUGAAAAGAGCACUCGAUUGCUUUAUCAUUUGCCUCCAGAUAUGGGGCAUCACUGGUUAUUGCCGCGAUGAUGUCCUCUUCAGCAUUGAUUGUUACUAACCGACCUUCGGUCACUAAUUUUAACUUUUGAUGCAGCGAUGAAGGGACUGCCCCCGUCGAGUGUAUCCACGGCUCCCCAAUAGGCAAUUAUACGAAGGCUUAAUGUCCAUGACCAAGAAAUGUACCUCGUAUGCACUCGGCCCGAUUAAGGCUUAAUGUCAUUCAAUACCCCCGGUAACGUGUACCCUUUACAGCGAGUCGUGAUGUGCAAAGCUUUAGUUGAUCCUAGGCCUCCUGGCGGUACCUCAUCGUCAUUGAAGAAUAUGAAGUUGUCGGCACUUAUAUUGUUGACUAAUUAGUGUCGCACCCUCGAUACGCCCAAAAUUGGUACCUAGUUGAUUAAUUUGUGUCUUAGUGUCGAAAAUUUAAAAACUUGAAAGAAUUCUGAAAUACGAUCCCUUUUUUAUAAAAAAGUUCAAGUGUUAAAGACCUUCUCAUCUCAAAAUAUGAAAUGUCACAUCCAGUGAGUUAGGACACGACAUCUUGAAUUUUUGAGAGCGAGCUUGCCUUUUAUAUAAAACUUACGUUUUUUAAUUUGUUAGAAGGGUAUUCGGUUAUUUAGGGUAAACGACAAAAAUCGAAAUCCAGUAAGUUAGGGUACGUUUUCCCGAGUUCUCAAACACCGAAUAUUGCCUUUGUUUUAAAACAAAUUCAUAUUUCGAGGUGACGAAAUGUCAUACCCGGUAAGUUAGGGCACAACACUUCGUAUCUCCGAGAACGAGCAUUUUCAAAACUCGUAUAGCAAUUUAAAAGAGUAUUCCGUUAUUUAGAUUAAAUGAGAAAAAUCAAAACCCAGUAAAUUAGGGCACGAUUAUCUCGAAUUACCAAAUACGGAAUAUCACUUUUAUGAAAGAAUUAUUUUAAGGCAUUGAGUAAAAACAUAAAGUGAUUCAUAGUAAUAUAUAAAAGCAUAUCAUGAUAUUAUUAACGUAUAAUAGUGAGUGAUAAUAACGAGUAAUUAUGAAAAGAUGACGUAGAAGCAAGGUUAGUAAUAUAUAAAUAUAAACAAAUGCGUGAGAAAAAUGAAAUGAUCGAAUACAUAAGUAAAUUAACGAAUAAAUGAAUAUAAAGACGGCGAAAUAAAAUGAUAAUGAUGGCAGUAAUAAUAAUAUAAAAGCGCAUACAUAUACGUAUCAAAGUACCUACGUAAUAAUAGAAGUAAUAAGAAAUAUAAAAAAUAUAUAUACAUAACAAUAAUAGUACGAUAUUAAAAGACACAUAUGCAUGGUAUAUAUAAAAAUGUAUAAGUAAUAUAAUAAAAAUUACAUGGUAUAUAUACAUGUUAGUAAUAAUAAUUAUGAUGAUACAAAUAAUGAAUGAUUUAAGGUUUGAGAGAAUUUACAAAGGUAUAAAUAAAUAGGUGACGAAACGAUAAUAAUGAGAAUAAUGAUAUAUAUAAGUGACAUAAGUACGUUAAAAUACGUAUAUAUAUAUAUUUUAAAUUAGUUAGUAUAAAAACAAUAGCAUAUAGGUAAUUACAAAUAAAAAGAUUAUAGUAAUAAAAGUAAUAAUGCAAUAGUGAUAACAGUGAGAGGUACAAUAGUAAUUAUAGUAAAAAUGCAAAAAUAAUGAUAAUAAUAAUAAAAACAUUACAUAAAUAUAUAGAAAAUAAAUAUAUGAUAAAAUCAAAUGUAUAUACAUAACAUGUACGUGUAAUACAAAACAAAAUAUACACAUAAUAUAUUAAAACAUAUACAUGACAUACAUAAUAUACAUGGUAGAACAUAAUAUGAUAUAUACAAUAUAUAAAAAUUAUAACAAAAUGACAUACAUGAUAUAACAUUAAUUUACAUGGGCAUAAUGUGAAAUAUAAUAUACAAAUAUAUGUUAAAAGUAUGUAUAUAUGACACAAAUGUAUUAACAAAAUAAUAAUAUCAAAACUAAUAAUAAUAAUAUAUAAGCGUAUACGUAUAUAUGUUAAAUAUAUAUAAUAAAACAUAUAUUGAUAUUAAUAAUAAAUAUAGAGGUAAGAAUAGGCAUAACAAAAUGUACAUAAUAGAGUAUUUGAAUAUGUAUACAUAAAACAUAUAUUAGGAAUAAUAAUAAUAUAUAUAAAACAACUAUAAAAUAUAUAUAUGUAAUAUUAAUCUAAAAAAAAUGCCUAAAUAAUAAUAAAAUAUGCUAAAAAUAAUAAUACAAGAAAGGUAAAAUAGAAUAAUGAAUAAUAUUAAAAUAACAAAGAGUAAAAAUAAUAUGAAAACAGUAUUAAAUAUGAAAAAGGGACUAAAUUCGGAACAAAUAUUAAGUUUUGGGGUCGAUUUUAAAAUAAAUAUGAAAGAAGGGACCCCUUUGAAUGCGCGCGCAACUGCAGAGGAUCAAAAGGGUAAUUUACCCGAACCCUUAAAACGACGUCGCAGGAGGUAGGAUUAAAUCACAAAACAUGAUGAAUUUUGAGGCCAAUUUGAAAGAAAUAAGAAGCUAAUUGCAAAACGUGUGAAAAGCGGAAGGACCGCGCGCGCAAUUAGACCAUCAUACGAAAACGCGUGGAUCUUGAGGCUGGUCGGAGCCGGGUCUCGGGUCGGGGUAGCUAAACGGUGCCGUUUCUGGAUUUAAAAGGGCCGGGCAAAACGGUGCGUUUUUCCGGCCUAUAUAAACUAAUUAUUUUUUUAUUUCAUUUCCUUUCUCCUCUUCUAAAAAAACUUCUAAUCCUCUCUUCUCUUUCUGCAGGUACCAGAAUCCGGCGAGGAGUGGGCCGGUCGCCGUCGUGUCAUCCGCCGUGCCGGCCGUCGCUCCGACCACCGUACACGGUGGCCAGAAAUCACCCGUGGGUAGAUUUUUCUCCUUUUUUGUAUUUUUUAUUUAUUUAAUCUAUGUGUUGUUUUAUUAAAAAUGGGGAUAAUAUAUGUGAAUAAAUUCAAAAAGAAAAAAGAAAAUAGACCUUAGAUUUGCUGUUUUUGGUUCUCCGGUCUCUAAUAUGGGGCUAUUCCCUGCUUUUGAUGUUGCUAAAGUCUCUGUUUUUUCUUGACCUUACAAUGGUUUUUGAUUUGGCUUUUAAAUAGCCAUUACAUUUCUUUUUCUUUUAAUAUUUGUCUAUUCUUCUGUUGUUGCUGCAGGCAAACGGUGGUGGAGCAGAGGCCACUUGCAGGCGUCGUUGGUGGAUGGGGUGAGGAGCAUGUGCUGACGGCUAGGGUUUCCUUAGCUUUUUCUUUUGUUGUGCGUGUGGGCAUGGGUAGGUUUGGGGUUAUUGGCUUAGUGGGUUUUGGGGUUUUGGGCCCAAAAUUGGGCUUGUACAGACGCUAAGCCAGACCAGUAACAAAAUUUUUGUUCGAGGCAAACCCAUGAUUUACGAUCAUAGUAAUAAGCAUAAAGAGAAUCAUUGACAAGGCAGUGCACCAAAAUCCGAGAUCGGGAAGAAUCUAGAACAGGAUUACUUAGAGCGAUAACUUCCGGAGGGGGCGACAAUGGUUCCCAAAUAUCCCCACUUAUAUCGUAAACCUCGCCAAAAGAUUCAAAACCCAAUUGUUCGAAGACGUAAAUCUUUCCUUCUGCAGCAAAAACCAGGGGAAAAGCCUGAGGGAACAACAUAGAAGUAGUUUUCUCCACCCACGUUCAAGGUCCUUCCAAUCUAAUCGGAAAACAUCGUUUACAUCAUCAUAACCACCAAAAGUAGCAUCAGUUUUGCUUAUUCCCCCAAGAACGUAAACGUGGUUACCCGAGCGCUAUUCAAAAAAUAGUUAAAUUUUUGUUCAAACUGGAUCCAAAUUAUAUAUGUUAAACUCGGGCUCGACCCAAAUUUUUUUAAAGCUACAUAUACCAAAUCAAACUAUGUAUUUGACUUGGACCUGUUAUUAUGAAAUGCAACUAAUAUGAUUUGGUCUGGUUAUAACUCAACAGCUUUGUAUUAUGCUAGACAAUAGCUGGUGGCUUUAUAACUGUAUACUCAAUAGAGACUCAAGUACCAAACAAUAUUAAAAACGCCAAAAGUACCUAAAAUUACUCAAGUAACAAGUUUACCAACCUAGUUACAUACCUUAAGACUCAACAUACAAAAUAGUAACAAAAUGACUUUCGAGUUGAGCUGGAGAAAAUGGAUGCUUGACCAUGUAUUUACUAAAGCUCCCAUCCGAUACCUACGCACAAAAAUAAAUAUAACUGUACGCUUAGUAAUAUAUACUCAAUAGUACUAACAUAAUUUAAAUUCAAUUAUAAACAUAAUAAAAUUGAAUAAACAAAUAAGUAAGAAGAUUAAAUAUAUUAUUAACAUGCAUGAAAUUAAUUAAUAUCAACAUGCAUGAAAUUAAAUCUUUAACAUAGUCUAAUUUCUAGCGACUUGUUUUAAGAAAUCGAAUUUCUCAAUUUCAAUUGAAGUAAUUUGCUUCAAUUUGAUCCUCAAUUGCAAUUCUAAUCUCACCUAAGCUAAUCCAAAGUUCUAGUUACUACUCUCUAACCCGUAUUUCUCUUACCUAGAUUUUCUAAACUCAUAUUUUCUUUUCUUCCUCUUAAUCACGUGAUUUUUUUUUAUUCUUUUCUUUUUCCUACUUCUAGUCCAGACUUUGAGGUGUGAUAGUUUCUAAAUAUAUUUAAAGAGAAAACCAACUUGCUUACCUUUCAUAUAUUUUCGGAAAUAAUUGAUUUCGAAAAAACUGGGUGCCUAUAUCAAAAUAAUAAAAUAACAAUAUUCAUUUAAUAUGAAUUAAAAAAACAAUUUUACAAUGAUAAUAUAAUUUUUCUAUAUUCCUUACCUGCUUUUAUUGCCUAUUGCAUAAUUGAUUAGACCUUCAAAUAGAUGAAGAUACAAUUCUGGCAGUAGCGUACUCAACUCACUCUCAAUGUUAAUGAUGUUAAUCUAUAAAAUAAACAAUUUAAGUAAAAGUUAAUAACAAAAGUAAAUAGAAUAUCAUAAUAAAAAAUAUUGAAAUCUUACUUCUACUGUUAUAUUGUCGUUGUAAUGAAGGUAAACAUUAGAGCAGUACUGUACUACAGAGGACAAGGAAUUAGUUGGGUAAUGAGAUUCUGGAUGCUCUAAUACAGAUUUAAGCACCGGAUCACAUUUCACCACCGACAUCCAUUUAUAUGAAUAUUUCUUUCGCAAGAGAAAUAGGCAUCUAUCAAUAAAACCCUGCAUAAUCUCUCCACGCUUCAUCAUGUGAUCCAGAUUUAUAAUAAAAUGGAACUUAUCAACCGGUCUCCAAAAUAAAGGCACAUCCAGUAGAAACACGGGACUCAUCUAUUUCCUGUCCAUUUGGACAUAGUCAAAUAAGAAAAAAAAAUUAUAAAAUUAAUGAAGUAGAACAUAUGAGUUAUUGAACUUUAAAAUAAAUAUAUGAAACAUAACUUACAAGUUUUGAGAUUUGAGCUAGUUAAGAAACAAUGAUAAUUCAUUCGGCAUAUUGAAAUUCUCAUAAUUUCGGAUAAUAGAUCCAAAUGGCAUAUUGACGAUGUAGUUCAUCAAAUAUUUCAACUCAUCAAUAUCACCUUCUAUUGGUUGGUCAGAUGCAUUCAAAUUGGGUAAAAACUUUACCCCCCACUGAAAUUAGUGAUGAAUAUAGGCUUCGUCGGAUCUUGCGUGUAAAUGCUCUUAUUACUUUUAGCCCGAAACAAGCAAUAUCCUUUAAGAUCUUAACGAAAUCCUUACUAAUAUAAUUGAACCAUUCAUGCUGAUUUCGAUCACUACUUUCCCACACCUCCAUCUUUUCUCUAAAAUAUGUUACAAUAUUUUUAGAAUAUUCUAGUCCAACCAGCCAUUCAUCUUGAUACCGUACAAGAUGAUGCCAACUUAAUAUCCAGUUAUCGUGAUGCUCCACUAAAUGUGUGUAUAGCUCCAAAGCUUUCUCUUCGUCUUUAAACGGCAAGAAAGUGGAGCUAAUUUCUUUUCCUGAAAUCUUUAGCACUCCAUAAUACACACCAGCAUCCUCUUUCAUAUUCUCACAAUAUGGUUCCGACAUAACUGUUGCAAACCAAAAAUAAAAAUUAAACUAAUAAAGGAGACAAUCUUAUGCUAAUACUACUAAAGCAGAAUAUAUUGUAAACAGAAGAGGAAUUGAAAAUUUUGAGCAAAAAACCAAAAAGAAAAUUUGAUUUACUGGCAACUUCAAGGACAAGUAGCAUUGAAUAUAGAAGGGAUUGAAAAAAACAUACCUGGAAUUGGAUGAGAUUGACCAGCGGCAGGACGGAGACAGUUGAAGGUUGGAGCGGAGAAGGAGACGAAAGUAGUGAGCGGAACAACGAAACCUAGGAAUUUUUGGUGAAAAUAGAAACUGAUCAUUAAAAAUAUUUAAUCCAGGGCUAAAAAAUGCUUACAUAAGAGUUUAGUAGAACAAUUUAUAACACUAGAACGCAUUUCCCAGGAUUAAGUUAUGAGAUAACAAUAUAGAAUUCCCCGUACCACUGCACAGUCACGUUCCUUCUAACACAAUUCGAACAAUUUUUCGGCUUUUUAAACAUAAUUCAGGAUCACAUUAGAUUGAGUAUCCCCACUAUAGAUAAUCUCAAUACAGUACACAUGUAUACAGUUCACAGAACACAAUUCUAGCAGUAAAAUAGAAAGAAAAACUUAAACACCCUCGUAAUUCCUCCUUUUUGGCCGACCAUCUCUAUCUCACCACCAUUCAGCCACGGCAAUUGACUUCCGGUGAUGAGAAGAGGCUCCGUUUAAUCUCUGUUUAAGGCCAAGCCCGAAGGUCUCGGUGCUCACCACCCCAAAGCCACUCUUUGCUUCGAUUUUAGCUAAUACUACUAAAGCAGAAUAUAUUGUAAACAGAAGCGGAAUUGAAAAUUUUGAGCAAAAACCCAAAAAGAAAAUUUGAUUUACUGGCAACCUCAAGGACAAUUAGCAUUGAAUAUAGAAGGGAUUAAAAAACAUACCUGGAUUUGGAUGAGAUUGACCAGCGGCAGGACGGAGACAGUUGAAGGUUGGAGCGGAGAAGGAGACGAAAGUAGUGAGCGGAACAACGAAACCUAGGAAUUUUUGGUGAAAAUAGAAACUGAUCAUUAAAAAUAUUUAAUCCCGGGCUAAAAAAUGCUUACAUAAGAGUUUAGUAGAACAAUUUAUAACACUAGAACGCAUUUCCCAGGAUUAAGUUAUGAGAUAACAAUAUAGAAUUCCCCGUACCACUGCACAGUCACGUUCCUGCUAACACAAUUCGAACAAUUUUUCGGCUUCUUAAACAUAAUUCAGGAUCACAUUAGAUUGAGUAUCCCCACUAUAGAUAAUCUCAAUACAGUACACAUGUAUACAGUUCACAGAACACAAUUCUAGCAGUAAAACAGAAAGAAAAACUUAAACACCCUCGUAAUUCCUCCUUUUUGGCCGACCAUCUCUAUCUCACCACCAUUCAGCCACGGCAAUUGACUUCCGGUGAUGAGAAGAGACUCCAUUUAAUCUCCGUUUAAGGCCAAGCCCGAAGGUCUCGGUGCUCACCACCCCAAAGCCACUCUUUGCUUCGAUUUUAGCUAAUACUUCUAAAGCAGAAUAUAUUGUAAACAGAAGAGGAAUUGAAAAUUUUAAGCAAAAACCCAAAAAGAAAAUUUGAUUUACUUGCAACUUCAAGGACAAGUAGCAUUGAAUAUAGAAGGGAUUGAAAAAAACAUACCUGGAUUUGGAUGAGAUUAACCAGCGGCAGGACGAAGACAGUUGAAGGUUAGAGCGGAGAAGGAGACGAAAGUAGUGAGCGGAACAACGAAACCUAGGAAUUUUUGGUGAAAAUAGAAACUGAUCAUUAAAAAUAUUUAAUCCCGGGCUAAAAAAUGCUUACAUAAGAGUUUAGUAGAACAAUUUAUAACACUAGAACGCAUUUUCCAGGAUUAAGUUAUGAGAUAACAAUAUAGAAUUCCCCGUACCACUGCACAGUCACGUUCCUGCUAACACAAUUCAAACAAUUUUUCGGCUUCUUAAACAUAAUUCAGAAUCACAUUAGAUUGAGUAUCCCCACUAUAGAUAAUCUCAAUACAGUACACUUGUAUACAGUUCACAGAACACAAUUCUAGCAGUAAAACAGAAAGAAAAACUUAAACACCCUCGUAAUUCCUCCUUUUUGGCCGACCAUCUCUAUCUCACCACCAUUCAGCCACGGCAAUUGACUUCCGGUGAUGAGAAGAGGCUCCGUUUAAUCUCCGUUUAAGGCCAAGCCCGAAGGUCUCGGUGCUCACCACCCCAAAGCCACUCUUUGCUUCGAUUUUAGCUAAUACUACUAAAGCAGAAUAUAUUGUAAACAGAAGAGGAAUUGAAAAUUUUGAGCAAAAACCCAAAAAGAAAAUUUGAUUUACUGGCAACUUCAAGGACAAGUAGCAUUGAAUAUAGAAGGGAUUGAAAAAAACAUACCAGGAUUUGGAUGAGAUUGACCAGCGGCAGGACGGAGACAGUUGAAGGUUGGAGCGGAGAAGGAGACGAAAGUAGUGAGCGGAACAACGAAACCUAGGAAUUUUUGGUGAAAAUAGAAACUGAUCAUUAAAAAUAUUUAAUCCCGGGCUAAAAAAUGCUUACAUAAGAGUUUAGUAGAACAAUUUAUAACACUAGAACGCAUUUCCCAGGAUUAAGUUAUGAGAUAACAAUAUAGAAUUCCCCGUACCGCUGCACAGUCACGUUCCUGCUAACACAAUUCGAACAAUUUUUCGGCUUCUUAAACAUAAUUCAGGAUCACAUUAGAUUGAGUAUCCCCACUAUAGAUAAUCUCAAUACAGUACACAUGUAUACAGUUCACAGAACACAAUUCUAGCAGUAAAACAGAAAGAAAAACUUAAACACCCUCGUAAUUCCUCCUUUUUGGCCGACCAUCUCUAUCUCACCACCAUUCAGCCACGGCAAUUGACUUCCGGUGAUGAGAAGAGGCUCCGUUUAAUCUCCGUUUAAGGCCAAGCCCGAAGGUCUCGGUGCUCACCACCCCAAAGCCACUCUUUGCUUCGAUUUUAGCUAAUACUACUAAAGCAGAAUAUAUUGUAAACAGAAGAGGAAUUGAAAAUUUUGAGCAAAAACCCAAAAAGAAAAUUUGAUUUACUGGCAACCUCAAGGACAAGUAGCAUUGAAUAUAGAAGGGAUUGAAAAAAACAUACCUGGAUUUGGAUGAGAUUGACCAGCGGCAGGACGGAGACAGUUGAAGGUUGGAGCGGAGAAAGAGACGAAAGUAGUGAGCGGAACAACGAAACCUAGGAAUUUUUGGUGAAAAUAGAAACUGAUCAUUAAAAAUAUUUAAUCCCGGGCUAAAAAAUGCUUACAUAAGAGUUUAGUAGAACAAUUUAUAACACUAGAACGCAUUUCCCAUGAUUAAGUUAUGAGAUAACAAUAUAGAAUUCCCCAUACCACUGCACAGUCACGUUCCUACUAACACAAUUCGAACAAUUUUUCGGCUUCUUAAACAUAAUUCAGGAUCACAUUAGAUUGAGUAUCCCCACUAUAGAUAAUCUCAAUACAGUACACAUGUAUACAGUUCACAGAACACAAUUCUAGCAGUAAAACAGAAAGAAAAACUUAAACACCCUCGUAAUUCCUCCUUUUUGGCCGACCAUCUCUAUCUCACCACCAUUCAGCCACGGCAAUUGACUUCCGGUGAUGAGAAGAGGCUCCGUUUAAUCUCCGUUUAAGGCCAAGCCCGAAGGUCUCGGUGCUCACCACCCCAAAGCCACUCUUUGCUUCGAUUUUAGCUAAUACUACUAAAGCAGAAUAUAUUGUAAACAGAAGAGGAAUUGAAAAUUUUGAGCAAAAACCCAAAAAGAAAAUUUGAUUUACUGGCAACUUCAAGGACAAGUAGCAUUGAAUAUAGAAGGGAUUGAAAAAAACAUACCUGGAUUUGGAUGAGAUUGACCAGCGGCAGGACGGAGACAGUUGAAGGUUGGAGCGGAGAAGGAGACAAAAGUAGUGAGCGGAACAACGAAACCUAGGAAUUUUUGGUGAAAAUAGAAACUGAUCAUUAAAAAUAUUUAAUCCCGGGCUAAAAAAUGCUUACAUAAGAGUUUAGUAGAACAAUUUAUAACACUAGAACGCAUUUCCCAAGAUUAAGUUAUGAGAUAACAAUAUAGAAUUCCCCGUACCACUGCACAGUCACGUUCCUGCUAACACAACUCGAAAAAUUUUUUGGCUUCUUAAACAUAAUUUAGGAUCACAUUAGAUUGAGUAUCCCCACUAUAGAUAAUCUCAAUACAGUACACAUGUAUACAGUUCACAGAACACAAUUCUAGCAGUAAAACAGAAAGAAAAACUUAAACACCCUCGUAAUUCCUCCUUUUUGGCCGACCAUCUCUAUCUCACCACCAUUCAGCCACGGCAAUUGACUUCCGGUGAUGAGAAGAGGCUCCGUUUAAUCUCCGUUUAAGGCCAAGCCCGAAGGUCUCGGUGCUCACCACCCCAAAGCCACUCUUUGCUUCGAUUUUAGCCAAGGAAAUGGGUUCCGACGGCUCAAAUAAGAGGUAAUCUCCUAUUUCUCUUUUUUAUUUUCGAAACUUAAAAGCAAAAUCAAAAAAGAAACAGAAAUCGAAAAAGAUAAAAAUGCAACCUUUUUAAAAAAACACUUCUGUUUGUAUUGUUCUUCUCUAUUCAGAUUUCUAACCUCGUUACAUUCGUUAUAUUCGGUCUUUUAUAGCCUAAAAGAAAAGGAAAAAAUACAAUUUGUUUUUUUUUCUCUUUUCUUUGCUAUCGUUUGUCCUUUCGUUGUGCAGGUACGGAGGUUUUUUUCUGGCAUCUGGUGGCGUACGGGAGCGGCGGUAAGGAGGUGCGCUGGAGAGGAAGAGUAUGCCCACUAUAGAUAAUCCUCAGACCAAGUUUGAACAAAAAUUUAGCCUUUUGUUUUUUUUGCCAGGUCGAGUUGGGCUAGGCUGGACUUAUAUAACAGUCCAGAAAUUUUGUUACAACUAUCGCAUAAUCAUUUCUAGUGCAGAUUAAGUUAAAUUCGAAUUCUUUCAAACUCAUUUGAGUUAAAUUUGGGUAGAAAAGUAACGUUACGCUUUGAGUAAAGUCAAGUUCAAUCAAAUAACAUGUUAUAUUUUAUUUAAAUUUGACCAACGAAUAAAUUUAAUGUUUCAAGAUUGGAGUGAAAUGAUUAAAUGUAAAGGUGAGCAAAAUUCGAUUCGAUUCGAAAAACUUCAUAAAAAUUUAAAGUUUUAGUAGAACAAUUCAUGUUAAUCAAGUUAUUUAGAUCAACUCGAAUAAAAUAAAUGAAAUUUUUUAGUUUAACUCAAAUGUGAAUUACACAAUUCGAGUUAUCCAAAAAUUCGACUAAGAAAAUGCAAAACUACGUCAUUUUUAUAAAUGUUUACAUUUUUUAAAGUUAAAAGUCAAAACCAUUAAAUUAAAAGACAAAACUAUUUCAUUUUGAUAAAUGUUUAUCUACUAACUUAAAUGGUAAAAUCAUUAUAUUGUUUAUGUAGUUAAAUAAUCAUAUACUUUGUCUACUAGUUAAAUAAUUGGUCUAUAUAAACACAACAUUGAGCAUAAAUAAUAGGAUUUGUUAACUCGACUCGACUUGACUCAAAAUUUUUUGACUCGACUCGACUGAAUACUCACCCCUAGUUGAAUGAACUCUAAUAAAAUGCAAUAGAAGUUUAUGCCUAAUAAAAUUAAAUUUGUUAGUUUGGUAUCCUAUACACUCCAAUUGAAAUUGCUUUUAAAAGAAAAUGUUUUAAAAUUGUUGAGGCACUUGUAAGACCAACGACACCAAGUAUUUACAAUUAUGUCGAUAACUACCCAAGGUUUUAUAAGUUGUCGUAUUUGAAGUUAGCAAUUUUUUAAAACAGUAUAGUUGGGCCAUGAAUUAUUUGAUAUUAUGGACAUGUAUUAGUUCAUAUUUGAAGAUUGCUAUUAUGAAGCAACAAAUUUUUAAAAAUUGGAUUUAUUUAAAUCAAGCAAAUUGGAUCUACUGUUUCGUGGAGAUUAAUUUGAAUGGCUUCAAAACAUAUCUUAGAGAUUUUUUAUUUAAAUCAACCAAAAAAUAUUUUUAUAACACUUAAUUAAAUCAAAUAAUUAAUCUAUAUGCAAUAAAUUAAUAUGGGAAGUCACUAAAUUAAAAAAUAGAUAACAGCUACUUACCCAUUUGAAGUUGUGAGAAGACCAUUGCAAUUGAGUUCCAGUGUAAUGCCCCUAACCCGUAUCCGUCGCUAGAACAGGGUUUGGAGUAUUACCAGUAAAUACAGAACAUUUACAGAAUAAUCAUGUCAUUUACUAUUCAUUUAACGAGAACAAUCAUAACAUCCCUUGAUUGGACCCUCGAAGCCCAAUACAAACAUUAGAAGCGGGUCGGGACCAAAUCUGAAACUCAAAGAAUUUUUCGCAAAAUUUUAAAAUUUUUCUUAUGAACAAUACCCACAUGCCUGUGUGGUCAGGCCGUGUGGCUAGUGACACGCCCAUGUCUAGCCCGUGUGAUGCGAAAGAUAAGUCACACGGUCGUGUUGCUAGGUCACAUGACCAUGUUGUUGGUCACACGGCCGUGUCGCUAGCCUGUGUAACUCUCUGACUUGUAAAUAUUAAGGUGCAAUUUUUACAUAGCCAGGCUACACGUCAAUUUCUUUUUCAAAAAUUAGGUGCAGACUUCAUACGACCAUGACACGGAAAACCAUGACACAUGCCCAUAUUCAAGGCCGUGUCAUCCAUACGGCUGAGACACACGCCCGUGUCUCUGCUCGUGUGCUCAAUUUUGAGCAUUCUGUUUUGCAAAUUUGAAAUACAGAGGACACACAGCCAGAUAACAUGCCCAUGUAUUGUGUCUACCCGUGUAGAAAAAAUAAGGCCAUUCCUAGCCUCAUUUCUCACCCAAAACUUGUCAUUUUUCCUGCACCAAUAUUUACAAGUAGAAUCCAACCAAUUCAAACAUAAUUUUAAUUAAUAUCCAUCAACCAAUUUGUUUCAUCAUCUCAUAUAUCCACACUUAUAAGCUUACCUUAUAUAGUUUGCAUCAUUGAUUGUCAUAUUGAACUUACUUAACAUGUGAUAUUUAUCAUAUUAAGAACUCACAGCAUACCAAAAACAACUAUUACUAGCCAUCCCAAUGGCUAGUUUAUAUUCAUCAUUUACAAUUUAGACCAUAUAACCUAUACAUGCCAUUAUACCAAAAUCAAGUUUAUCAUUUAUACCAAAAUCAAAGGGUGGAUAGUGUGAUGAUUUCCUCCGACCAAUCUCCAACCUUCGCGAGCCUUAGAGCACUAUAAAAUAGGGAAAAUAAAACCUAGUAAGCAUUUCAUGCUUAGUAAGCUCGUAUAACAAGAAUUAUACUUACCAUUUAUAUUCAACAUAUUAACCAUACAUUUCAUGUUUUUCAACAACUUGGCAAUUUGCCUAAUCACAUACACUCAACCAAAUGAGUUAGUUUCAAACACCAAUAUGCAUAGAUGAGCUCAUCAUGCCACAUUCACAAUCCAUUUCAUCUUUUCCAUGUCACUUAUUUACUAUUUCCAUUGAAUUAUCGACUUUCCGAUGGAUAUUUCCAAUUGUACAGAUGAGGUGCACAAUUUCAUUAUCCGUUAAUUCAUAUCCAGUAGUACCUUUUAGGUACACUCUCGAGCCACAUAUUAUAUAGUAGAAUUACCAUCCAGGCUAAAUCCUUGUAUGACAAUGAAUUCCCUAUAGAGUCCAAUUUGGAUUACCAAUCCAGGCUAAAUCCUCAGUCAAUUAGGAUUACAAGUCCAGGCUAAGUCCUAAUUGAAACACAUAUUCUUGAGAGCCCAUUUCAGAGGAUUACCCGACCAAGCUAAAUACUUUUAAAUGAUGAGAGCAAUAGAUUACUUGUCCGAGUUAAAUCUUUUCUGCAACUCAUGCAGGAUCUCAUUUCACAUCAAGAAUCACGUAUCCAUCGGGAUUCUGUAUUCAAACGGAUUAUAACCCUUUUUCAAUCAUUUUACAAUCUCUUACAUAUUUCUUAUCAUUCCAUAUUCAUGCUUCAUGUACAUAUAAUUCACAUAUCAAGUCAUAUACAAUUCAACAAUCAAACCAACACAUUUUCAUGCUUAUUUAAGUUAUACGAACUUACCUUGAUAAUUGUUCGUAUCUACUAAUCCGAAACUUUCUCUUUCCCUCGAUCUUUCUCUUUAUUUGGUACUUCGGAUCUAUAUAAAUUAAUUUAAUCAUCAAUUCCAUACAUUUCACAUUCAAUUGAACCCAAUUCACAUUUUAGGCAAAAGUAUCAUUUUUCCGUUAAACUUUUAAUUAAUUCCAAUAGGCUCGGAAAAUAAAGUUCAUGCAAUUUACUCCUUAUUCCAAGCCUAAUCAAAAUUCUAAUAUAACUUUUACAGCACAUGUAACAUCCCGAAAUAGGGCCUAAACGGAAUAGUGGUUGCGAAACCACAAAUCCGAGGUAGAAAAAUUUAUUUUAUUAUUAUUUUGAGGUUCAUGGUAUGAUUGCAUGAUUGUGUGAAAAUUUCGUGAUGAAAUUCUAUGCAUAAAGUGCUUAAGUUGAGGUUAUGGACUAAAUCGAAUAAUUUGCAAAACUUGCAUUCUAGAAGUUUUUAGUAUGAAAUUACUUUGGAAUAUUAAUUAGGAGGGUUUAAAUAACAAUUUGACUAAUUUUAAGUUCAUGGACAAAAAUUAGGACAUGGAAGGAAUUUUUGAAAGUUUAGUAAGGAGGGGUAAUUUGGUCAUUUAGAUAUUAAAUGAAUUAAAAAGGGAAAAAUAACACAAAAAUGGUCAUCUUCUCAAUUAGUUUCUGCCGAUUUUUGCUCUCCUCCAUAGCUGGGGUUUCUUCAACUUUCAAGCUUCAUAGUAAGUGAUUCCAAGCCCCGUUUUUAAUGAUCUUUACGUUUUUGGAGUCCCGGUAACUUGAUUAAGCUUGUUCUAGCAAUAAUUCAACCUAGGGUUCAUAUUUGGAAAAAUACCCAUGGCUGAAAUUUGUGUAUUUUGCUGUUUUAUGAUAGAAUAUGAGGUUUUAAAUUAUGUUAAACAACUUAUGCUACUUGGUUUUAAGUGAAAACGAGUAAAAUGGCUUAAAUUAGAAAAAAAUACCAAUAGUCAUAAGUAUAUGUUAGAGUGUGAUUUUGAUAUUGCCAUAGAAGGGAAAAAUGAUCAGCAUGUCAUAAAACAUAAGAAAAUAGGAUGAAGUUUAAUUUACGAGCCUUGGGGAAAAAGUGCAAAUAUGUGAAAGUUUAGGGGUAAAAAUAUAAUUUUGCAAAAGUUUGGGUCAAGGACUGUUUUAAUAAAUGUGAAUAUUAAAUAAGUUAAAUUUGCUAUUAUAGAUAAAGAAGAAUGAAAUUCGGGAGUAGAUCGGGGAAAAGAAAAAGUAAAGGACUAAAUUGUAAAGUUUAGUCACAUUUUGUAUCAAGGUAAGUUACAGUAAAUAAAUGCAAUAUUCUUUUAUUUUACAUUAUUAUUGUCAAUUUCCAGCAUUUAUAUAUUUAUGUUAUGAAAAUAUUUAAAGUCGAAUUUAAGGUGAAGUGACAGAGGAAAAGUGUUAGAAAGCCCCGGUUGAACCUUAGGAAUGUUAGGAUAUUUGGGUUGACAGGACAGAACAGAAAUGAGCCAUGUAAGUCCAUAUUAGAAAUAUGGAUUUGGAGACAGGAUUGAGCCAUGUAAGUCCAUAUUAUAUAUGGCAUUGGAGACAGGAAUAAUUCAUGUAAGUCUAUGUCAAAGACAUGGCAUUGGCAGGAUAUUGAUAGACAGGAACGACCCUAGUAUCCUUAGUAUUCCGAGUGGUUCAACGGGUCAGGAUACGAGUUAAAUUACAGUGAAUUAACAGCAAAGGAAAAUUAUAUUAUACUUAUGAAAAAGGAAAGGUCAGGUAAGAAAGAAGGUAAGGGAAUAAAGAAGAAGAUAGAAAUUGAGAAGUAAAGAAAUUUAUGGUGUUAGAUGAUAUUAUGCAUAAUUAUCCAUUAUGUUGAAUGUUGUGAUUUAUUUGCUUGUAAGCUUACUAAGCCUAGUGCUUAAUCUCUUUAUUUUCUUCUUCUUAUAGUACUUAUCUAGUCACUCGGGGAUCGAAGGAAACGUUGGAGGCCGAUCACACUAUCAAAGAAAUAACUCGAUAUAACUAGACGUUUUGUUUUGGAUAUGGCAUGUAUAGAAACUUAGCUACUUUUGGUAUAAUAUGAAUAAUGAAUGAUGUGUAAAUACUUGCUAGUGAUUAUCUAAUAAAAUAGCCGUUGAUAUACAUGUUUAUUAAUAUGUAUGAUUGAAUGAUGAUUAUCUCAUGAAAAUUAUGAAAAAUGUGAAAGUAACCUAAAAACAGAUUCAAGUAAUAGAAAUGACGUAACUUUGAAAAAUCACUAAAAAUUGUAGAAAUAUAUUUUUAAGAUGAAUAAUAUAUUAAAUUAAAUAUUAUUAUGUAUAUUUUCUUAUGGAAUAAGAAAAAUAGGUAAAGAUAUUAUAUUUUAUGAGAUAUUUGAGUUUUAGUGAAACAGGGUCAGAGCGAUUUUUAGAUCCCCUAUUUUAACUUUGGAAAUUCACCAUAAAUUGUAAAAAAAUAAUUAGAAGGUUUAAUUUAUAUGUUUAGAAUCCUUGUUGAAUCUAGUUUUGAGAGAAAUAAACGGCUUAGUCAUAUGAAUUUUGUACAGGAAUAAAAAUUGUUUGAAGUAAGAAGAGGUCACUGCAGUCGAGUUUUGAAACAGGGGAAACUUUAACUAAUAAACUAUACUAAUUGGACAAGUCAAAAUUUCUAGAAAAAAAUUAGUAGAUAGAUAUAUUAGUCUAGUUUCAGGAAAAAUUUAUGGAUCUUAAUUUUGAAUUUUGAAACUCAAGAAAUGAAUUUUUAAGCAACCAUGAUGCAGAAAAACAGUUUACUCCAAAAAUUAAAAUAAGUGGUUUAGAGUUGUUUAAAAGGUAAGAUAAGUUUAGUAACACCUCAAGCCUGACUCCGGUGACGGUUUCGGGCGUGGGGGUGUUACAGCACACAUAUUUAAUAAAAUACAGAAUUUUUCCAUGAAUUUCAUCACUUAUCAAUUUAGUCUCUAAACAUGUUUCCAUUAAAAAAAUCACUUUGGAAAAAUUGUUUAUCUAUCAACAACCUUUCAAUUUCUACCAUAAAAUUUUUCUACCAUAAACUUUCAAUUUUCAGCAUAUUCAUCCAUGGAAAAUUUUCUUUACUUUAAUUUCUUUUCAAAUAAAACCCCAAAAUAGAGAAAUUAGACUUUCUCAAUUCCAAAAAUAUGAAAAUUACAAAAACCGAGACUAGAAACUUACCAAUUCAAGCUUGAAAAGUUUCUUUUCUCUCUCCUAGGGUUUCCAUGUAUUUUUUAUGAAGAAGAUGAUAUAAAAUGAUAUUAAUUUCAUUUUAAUCAUUUAUCAUCUUUUAAUUAUUUUUAUUUCCAAUUUAGUCCUUGCCCUUUUUCUAAUUUUCCAUGGAUGAUUCACCAAAAAUAUCUACAUAGUUUUCAUCAAUGGUCUAAUUGCCACACAAGGACGUUACAUUUUGAAUUUCAUAGCUAUUUGAUCCUUAUAGCCACUAGAAUUCAACUUUAACAUUUUAUGCAAUUUAGUCUUUUUUGCAAUUAGACACAUAAUCAAUAAAAUUUUCCUAUCAAAAUUUUCAUGUAAUCUUCUUAUCAUAUUACCAAUCAUUUCAUGAAAUUAAAAUAAUUUUAUUUUUUGGACUCGGAUUUGUGGUCCCGAAACUACUAUUCUAAUUUUACUAAAAUUGGACUGUUACAUCUAGCACACUAGGCUGGGCUAAUUCCUAGAUUGCUACAACUAAGUGGAUAUAAAGCUUUUAAUAAAAUCCUCAAAAUUGUUUCUAAAAAAUUUAAUGGUUUUCUAAUUGUGACAUGGGAAGCAACACCAGAACAUGGGGAGUUCAUCUCACAUUUAUGUUUCUAUUCUGUUAUAAAGUUUUAAUGAGUGUGAUUAUGGGUAAGGAACGGUAGUUGCCUCCGGCUAUCAGACUCAUUGAGCUAAAUACUACAUAUGAUGGUGAGGGGUGGGGCUAGAAUAGUUGGAGUCUGGGUUGAUUUUAUACGUGGUAUUAAUAUUAUAUAUAACCAUUUAAAAAUAUUUGGUUAGAUAAACCUCAAUUUAUACUAAAUUUGUCCAUAUCAAUACAUAAUUAACACAAAUUUGCCGCAAGGCAUUUGCCAUGGUGGAUCACUUGAAUACUUCACAGCAGAUAACAACCAGCUGACUAGGCCAAUCCCUCAAGGGUUAAAAUUUUGCACUAGCUCGAAGAGAGUCUGCCUUGAAAAAAACUGACUUAGAGGGAAUAUAUAUAAAUAUUUAGGUGUUUACCCGAACCUAAAAUUCAUUGACUUGACAAUGAAUUUCAAGGUGUAAUUCUGCCCAUUGGAGGUUGUGCAAAAGUUGACAUCUUUGCUUUAUCUUGGUUUGAAUGGGAACAAACUUUCUGGUAAUGUACCCUUGGAACUAGGUCUUAUGUCCAAGCUUUUGUAUCUAGACUUGUCUGCAAACCAAUUGAGCAAGUCCAUCCUUGAAACUUUCAGGUUAAAAUAAUCGGCAAAAUAUCUCUACUAGUACUUGUAUUUUAUGAAAAUUGCGAAUUUAGUUCCAAUACUGUAAAUUGGGUUGGGUUUAUAAAUUAUACUAAAUUAGGUUUAUAGUGGGUAGGACUUAGGAGUGCUGGGGUAAGCCGCUGGUUAGGGAUUAGAUGGGCAGUAGGCUAAGCAUAAUACAUAUAAUAUAUGAUAUUAGUUAUUAAGUUCGAUUAAUUUGGUUAAUUGCUCGCUUUCGAGCCAAAUUAACCAAUACUGUAUUUUAUGAAAAUUGCGGAUUUAGUUCCAAUACUGUAAAUUGGGUUGGGUUUAUAAAUUAUACUAAAUUAGGUUUAUAGUGGGUAGGACUUAGGAGUGCUGGGGUAAGCCGCUGGUUAGGGAUUAGGUGGGCAGUAGGCUAAGCAUAAUACAUAUAAUAUAUGAUAUUAGUUAUUAAGUUCGAUUAAUUUGGUUAAUUGCUCGCUUUCGAGCCAAAUUAACCAAUAACUGAACUUUUAAAAAAUUAUUAACCAACAUCUAAUCGAAUUAAAUUAGUAAACUGACCGAUUAAUUUUAACUGAAAUUUAAAUACCCCUAAAUCUGUUACUCUAAUAUGAAGAUCUUUAAAAAAAAUUUUCUAUAAAUGUAUUUGUUUCAAUAGAAUAUAUAUUUAAAAUGGUAUAAAAAAAAGUAUGAAUUUGUCAAAUUCAUAUAUACCUUAGGAACCCAAAUCAACUAGUUAUUAGGAAUCCAACAAAUUCUUGUUUUUAAGAAAUAAUCACUCAAUCUGUAUAUAUGUUAUAUUUUGUAUAUAUGUUAUCACUCAAUCUGUAUAUAUAUAUUUUUUAAAUUCAAAUCCAAAAUUUAAAACUAAGUUCCCAAAUCCUACAAAAAUUGGAUAGUAAAAUAAUUCCAAAUAUAACAUUCAUGAUUAUAUCUAAAUCCAGCGAUUUGUUAAAUGCUUAUUUAAUAGAAAAUUCAAAUUUCUUAAAUUAUUUAGGGCUAAUAUGCAAAAUUACGUGAAAUUUAAAAUUUACCACUAUACAUUACUUUCAUCAAUAUUUUAAAAUUUUAAAAAAUUUUAUAGGGCUAUAACAAUUUUCUAUUUUAGAGGUUUGACCCCCUGCCAACCCCUAGAUUCGUCUCUGCCAACCCCUGGAUUCGUCUCUAACCACGAAAGUUUAAUUUAAUUUUCAAAUGCAUUUAUUUAAUUUAAAAAAUAAAAAUUCAAACCACGUAAUGAGUGUUAUUUGAAGGGCAAGAGAGAUAGCCUUAAGAGAACUGAAUAAAGUGCAAAAUCACAAUACUGUAUGGUUUUAACUUUGUUAAUAUUUCGGUUUCCAAAAAGAAAACACCCAAUUACAUGAACAACUUCAAAGUUUUAACCAAAAUAAUUGACCGCGUCUUCAAAGUCUCUCUUCACCAUCAACAUGGGUCUUGACUCAACUCCAUGCACCAACACGUUUCAGCUGAGGCCUAAAAGGGAGAGAAAAAAUAUCUGAGAUUAAGAAUAUAAUUUUAUAUCAUUGCAGCGAAAAUUGAAGGCUCAAGGGACAAAAACCAAAAAUUGAACCCGUAGACGUUAGAAUUAUAAUGAAUUAAACCCUUUUAUCAUUAAAGUUAUCCAUCAAAGUUACAAAGCCAAAAAUGCCAUUUUUUUUGCUGGUUGAUUUCACCACAUGGCAAAAACUAGCAUUUAAUGUAUAAAACAUUAAAAAAAUCAACAAACAUUUAUAAAAAGUCAUAGAAAAUCGUAUAUACACAUAUCUAUCAGCAGACCACAUCAACAGGCACCAAAUGAGCUAUAAAAAUCAACAUUGUUAAUAAAAAUAAAAGCUUCCAUGACCUUUUACAACAAUGAAAAGUGAGUAAGAUUAUUAUUAUUAUAGCUCACAACUACCAACAAAACAAACACAUCAGAGAAACGAUCUCCAUAAUCUAUUAUGGUUUUUCAGAUAUACAUCUGCAGUAUGCAGCAUUCGUCUUCCUAUGUAAUUCAUUCCAUUUUCAUUUUUGACUUCUUACGUGUUGGAGCUUCAUCAAUCAAGCACGCAAGAACAAAAUCAAAGAAACGAGGAAAAAACAAUACAGAUAUAAUUAUCACUCCCAAACCUUUUCACAUUCCAAGAAAACAUACGAUUCAUAUGAUAUACAAAACCGGAAAUAGGAUGGCAAAAUAUUUAACAAGAAUUUCCAAAUAAACAUUUUUGUCCCCUACUAAUUACUUUUUCUCUACUUCAAAUUCUCUAGUUGUAGGACUAAGUAAUUCCCAUUUAUUAGAGUUAUAUUCUUAAGUAAUAUUUUGUCCACUCUCUUACUGAUUUCAACGAGCUAAUAGCUCACUUAGUAAUCAUAUUCACUAUCUCAAAUCAAAUUCAGCCUAUUGAAUAAAUCUAUCCUCACUUAGGGUGUGUUUGGACAUAAUAUGUCUAUUUUAGACAUAAUAUUAUAAAGUAACAAAUAUGUAUUUAAAUAAUAUUUAAAUUAGUUAAUAUUAUGAUAUUUUAGCAAUAAUAUAAAAUAAUUUAUUAUAACUUAUUGUUAAAAAAUUAAUAUAUAAUAUUAAUUUUAAAUAUUUCUAUGUAAUUAAUAUUAAUUAUUUAUUAAAUUUAAUUAGAAUAUAUAAACUAUAUUAAAAUAUUAUUUGUAAUUAAAUAUUGAUAGAAUUGUAUUAUUUUAAAAAUUAUUUUUUUAUUUUUAAUUAAUGUUUUUAACACAUUUGUAUUAUUUUAUUUUAAAAUAUACUAUGAAUAUAUAAUUCAUAUUAGAUAUUAACAUAAUAUAGAAAACAUAAACCUAACAAAUUAAAAUAUUACAUAUAUUUAGAUUAAAGUUUCAAAAAUGGAUAAUAUUUAUAUACCAAAUAUAAAUACUAAAAAUUUUACAAUAGUAUCAAUUUAAAGUGAAUUCAUUAAACUAGAAGCUAUAGCAUCUCUUGUUAAUUCCAUUUCAAAAUCACUUGAAUUGUUUGAUUCACCGUCAUCACCAUCAUCAUCGUCGUCGUCAUCAUCAUCACUUUCUCGACCAUGCGCUUUUUCACCUUUCUUUUUUGCUCUAUAUUUGUGUUUAAUAAUAGGAAAGAUAAAGAUGGGAGCUCUUUAGACUUCAAAUGAUUUAAAAAUAAUAUUCUUGCAGGAUAUCAAGACUAAACCAUGGCCAGCUAGUCAAAAAUCAUGAAAUUGCAGCACCACUGCUCAUUGUCAAACAAACAAAUCAAACGUAUUUGAAUUCCACAAUGGUUAAGAAUAUACCUUUUUCCUCGUGUUCAUAAACUGCAAAAACAAAAAAGAGGCACCUAAAUUAAUAGUGUACAUUAGUUGACUUGUAAAAUGAAGUUUUCCUUUGUUAUUUUUAGUGCCAUCAUAACACUUACAAAAGCAAUAUCUUAGACGCAGAGCACUAAAAAUACACAUCUAACCAUUCCAGAAACCACAGUUUAACAUUCAGGAGGUUAUAUUUGUAUGCAGUCUAAUCUCAUGUCUCAUUAUAAACGCUUUUAUGGAUCAUUACUGCUAUAUGACGGACACUGAUAAAAGUUGGUAAGUGGUAAGAAUUAGCAGUAAUACAAAGCAAACAACCUAAUGUGAACCAUUUACUAGCUUAAUUCCAUCCUUACUUAGCUUAAUCUUACAACAUUUACUAGCAAUUUCAAGGUCAAAGCAGAUUUGGUCAAAAGCAUUUUAUCAAUUUUCCUUUUAAGUUACAAUUAGCAUUGAAGCUGACAAGUAACACCUUCCGAUUUAGUUAACUCAAUACUCCCCUUAAAUCCAUACAAUUAAACCAUGAUUUCAACCAUUAAUACGAAGAAAUAUACACAUUAACAAUUAAAUACGAGGCAUAAACUUUAUCAUAUUAAAAAUAAAUCGAAAGAAAAGCAAAACAAAACUUCACCCACAUCGUCAAUCAACCCUACACUGCACCCUCGUCCUCCCCUUUUCUAUUCAAAAAAGUGCCAAGGCAGUGACUUGUCGAGUAGCUAAUAAUAAAACAGAGCACAACAAAAAAUAGCCAACAUACUAGAGAAGAGUUCCAAUACCAGUACCAAGACCAUAACAGUGCAAAAGAAACUCGGGCUCUCAAAUCAGAAUGAAAAGGAUGAGCUGCUGAGCAAGGGAGCGAAGGCAGAAGAAAGGUUUACAGAGAAGAAAUAUGCAGAUCCCUUCGAGAAAGAACAAACGGAUGGGAAAUCCAACAAGUUGGUGAAUAAUAAAAACAAAAUCACGCCCAAUUUAUUAAGGUGCCGACUCAAAAAUCACAAUCCCAACAACUUAAAAAAGAUCAUACAGCUGGGUGCCACGUGUUAGAAAACAAAAAUAUGGGUAAAUGAAAUCACCAGGAAAUCGUGCCCUCCAGACCCCAGCAGUGCAGAAAAUAAAAAUAAAAGCAUAAUGAACAAUUAGAAGAAGAAGAGAAGAAAAAGAUAAACUCACCGGUGGAGAAGAGAAGAGGAACAAAGAACCAAACCAAAAUGGGUAAAAGCAAAAGAGAAAAGCUGAAAGAAAUGUGAAAAAAUUAGAGUAUAUUUCAUAAUUAUUUCAUAAAAUCAAACAAUCAGAAAAUAAAAACUAAAGCAUAAUGAAAAAUUAGAAAAAGAAGAGAAGAUACAGAGAACAAUUUCAGACAAAGAAUUGGGAAAGUUCUACCGUGAAGGAGAUAGGUUAAAACGGUAAAAUACCAACCCAAAUGAACUUCAGGCUUGGAAAACCUAAAAUAAAUGGCUUUUUCAUCUGUAAAAAAGGCCUUAAAUUAAGUUAAAAAAGUUUCCAAACUGAUAGUUGUUCUUCAUUGCUUUUCAGAUAAAAGCACUUUUUUGGGAAAAAGUUCAUCCCAAAAGUAAUGAAGAACAAGGCCUUAGUAAUAGUUAUAUUUUCUGCAUUUUCAUCUUGCUUCUUAUCAUAUGCAUGUUGCAAAAAUUUCUGUUCAGGAAGAUGAGGAAACCUUGUAAACCAUUAAAACAAUAUGUUGCACGAAGACAGAAAGGAAGACUAAAAGGAACAAGUGCGGUGAUGAAGGUUGUACGUUCCCAAGACCAGUUAAAUCAUGAUGGUCGUACCAAUCGUACAGAAUUUCUUGAGAGCCAAACCUUCAUCUCUGGGACAACUGUAUAGCCUCUUCGAGUGAAGUUAAAAGGGCUGGGAAUUUAUUAGGAAAGCACUAAUAUGAAAGUAACACCAAUCAUGAGUAGUGGGAGAGACGGAGGUUAUCAAAACUAAUUUGGGGGGGAUCGAUGUCAUGUAGAAGUUACAACCUAAGUAAUAGUUUGGUCAUAGGUAGGCCUGCUCACAAGUCGAGCCUAGACAGGAUACUAACACCUUUCACGUUUGGCUAAGGCCCUGACCCAGCACAAAAUAUGGGCAAUAUCAUUCGACUAGACCUAACCCUAAUUACAAAAAGGGAGCCAUUCUUGGCCCAACACAACCCACCCAAAUUCUUUUUCUAAUUUUAUUUAAGUGGCAGUCAAGCUUUACUUUGUUUACUUAUUGUUCAAGGUUAUCAUAGUCCUUAUCAAUAUUGACAUUUUUACUGUGGUAUCCAUCACCGACAAAAGGACAUCAUUUUACUAAAUCUUCACUUGCCUAUAGGUAAUAACCUCGCUCUGAUAUUUUAGGCAGAAACAUUGUCAUAGUCUACCAACUUCCUAAGUAGGAAUUUAAGCCUUUGUUUAGAUCAGGAUAUUUUAUUUUCUUGUUGGAACAAAAAACUAGAAGCAACUAUUGGGGCCUAGGGGUAAGGCAAGACAGAACUUGAGUUCUAGUUCUCUAAAGGUGCUAGGAGCCUCGUACCCAUUUAAAACAACAAAUAGAGCAGACAUUUUCACACAAUGCAAAUCCAAUGCCUGAUUCGUCUACUCCGUACCUUAGCAUUACUCAAGUUUUAUACAGGAAGUUCCAGGCUCACUAUCAACUUCUUAGCGACAAGAAGAGCAAACAAAAUGCAAUGACAAGCAGUAUUGGCAAAUGAAAAAUCCGUCAAUUCACAAGGAUGGGAAUAAUUAAGAUAUGGUAGUGAUCUGAAUGGGGCACUAACCUUCAUUUAGAGCAAUCCAAAUGUAAUGGCAAGCAGCAUUGGCAAAUGAAUAAUUAUCAUGUAGUAUUGAUAUGAAGGGGGCUCUAACCUUCAUUCAGAACAACCAUAUACUAGAAAUAUCUUCGCGAUAUGAAACAGUGGUCGCAAAUUGAUGCUCUACAGCUGCAUGAAUCCCUCCCUGCUCGUUGCACCAAAUAUUAAAUCUUAUGUACUCAAAAUGCUCAUGGAAAAGGUUGACCCAACCCAAAAUAAGCUUGCCAUUGCCCAACCGAUACAGAGUGCCAUUCGGUGGUGGAUUCACUGAAAAUUCUGAUGACCAUUUGACGGGCAAAUGUUUCUUAUCAAGCAAAUUAUACGCCUCCAAAGAACGGAACUUACCAGAAUAAUUAUAAAUGACAGUAUACAGGACAUCGUCCACGAUUGUCGCUGAGUCAGACCAGUAACAAAAUUUUUGUUCGAGGCAAAUCCAUGAUUUACGAUCAUAGUAAUAAGCGUAAAGAGUAUCAUUGGCAUUGCAGUGCACCAAAAUCCGAGAUCGGGAAGAAUCUAGAACAGGAACACAUAGAUCGAUAGCUUUCGGAGGGGGCGACAAUGGUUCCCAAAUAUCCCCACUUAUAUCGUAAACCUCGCCAAAAUAUUCAGAACCCAUACCUUCGAAGACGUAAAUCUUUCCUUCAGCAGCAAGAACCAGGGGAAAAGCCCGAGGGAACAACAUAGAAGUAUUUUUCUCCACCCACGUUCAAGGUCCUUCAAAUCUAAUUGGAAAACAUCGUUUACUUCAUCAUAACCACGAAGACUAGCAUCAUUUUCGCGUAUUCCCCCAAUAACAUAAACGUGGUUGCCACAGGCAACGACAGUGGAACCUGAAGGAGCAUCAGGUGGCAUCGCCCUAAUAAAGACUUUAUUGCUUUUCAGAUCAAUAAAGUGCAAACCGAGCGCUGUUUUACCAUCGGUACCUGGGGAUUUCUCAACGAGGGCCCUGAUCAGUUCAUCUGGCUCUCGCCCAUCAAAGUAACUGGAGGAAUCACUAGUAUUGCCGCUCAUGGUUCACCCUUAGCUUCGCCUUUCCAGAUCCAAAAUCGCUUUUAGUUUUAGGGUUUCUAGCUUCGGGUUAUUUCCUUCUUGUUUUUUUUUGUUUUUUUAAUUUGGCUUGGGUUUAAUAGUCAUAGACAAAAAAAGAUUUAUAGUUAAAUAAAUUUGUUGACAAGUUAUUCAGCUAUCUGUUCCAAGAAGUAAAAGGUUGAUAAUUUUUUUUAAAAUAGUAAUUUGCUUGUUUUAGUUGUAAAUUUCCAAAGUAAAGUAAAGAUAUUGGCAAUAUGUGACUGUUUAUAUUUUAAAAUUAUUUACUAAUUAUGAUUAUUUUUAAUGAAUAUAGAAUAAUAUUAUUUCGCAUCAAAUAUUAGAGAUUUGUUGAAAUUUGAUCAAUUAUUGGAUCAAUUGAAUAAGGAGUUGAUAGGUAUACUAAUUUGAAUAAGAUAAAAAAUUGGUUGGCAUAUUGAUAUGAACAAGUUGAAUAGAAUUAAAUUGAUGAUUAAACCAAGUUUUAUAAUUCUUUAUUAUUUACUUAAUAUGAUGGUUUAGAGUAUUAAAAAAGAUGUGGAAAUGUAAAGUUUAAAGUUUUGGUUCUUUUUUUUGUUUAUUCAGUAAAUAAAAAUGUUGAUUUUUUAAGCUGGUAGCUUUGUAUAUAUAUAUUGCUUUGCAUUUGCUUUCCGCGAUAAUUAUAUUUGUAGGUGUUUGGCUAGCCUCCAAAAUCCAACAUUAUUUUUUAUACGAGUUUCCUCUUGUGGUUUUCACUGCACUUUAUCUUUAUUCACAUAGUUUCCCUUAAUUGGUUAGAUGCGUUGCAUUGGACUCCCAUCUUUGAUAGUAAUGUUAUUCCUUUCUCAAAAUUUUGACAGCAACUGGUGCUUAUGAUAAUAGUGUUUAAAAAACCGAGUUCACCUGUCAUACCGAUCGUUCUGGCCUCAUUAGUGCUGCAUCUUGUCCUUCAGGAAAGCUAGUUCAAAUCGAGCACGCCUUGUCAGCAAUCGAAUCGGGUCAAACAUCUCUUAGAAUUAAAGUUAUUAAUGGGGUGGUAAUUGCUACUUAAAAGAAAUUGCCUUCAAUAUUGGUUUAUUUGUUUAGAAAAUACAAUGUCUAACUCCAAGUGUUGUAGUUGUUUAUAGUGUUGGGCAGGUUAUAGCAUUUUGGAUCAAAUGUAACAUAAAGUCUUUCUAAACUCGGACAAAACUUCAGUAAGCAAAGUAAUGCAUUGAUUGGUUCUCUUUCCAUUAAACAAUCAAUCCACCAAAGCUCUUUUAAUUCGUUCAAAUAACAUUCAAGUCGCCUACUUGAAAAGGCCAUAAUGAUUUCUUUUACAGAGAUCAUAACAACAACGAGAAUGGAAAGGGAGUCUUAGUCUCAAAGUCUCAUGUCCAAUGCGUUAGAGGACAUUGUCUAAUAUCAACCACGACAUCUUCCAAGAAGAACCAACAGUCGCCUCAAAAAGCACUGUUGUCUCUAAACUGAAAAGACAUUAAGUUUGAACAUCGAAUUGAAUAGGGAGCAACAAAAUGAUUUGGUGAAGGAUGUUAUCAGGUAAAUGACUGAUGAAAUCAUUUGGGUCCAUAUUAUUUUCACUUUUUAGAAUAUUGACAUGUUUUUACGAUUUCUCUUGAUUAUUAUGACUGCACUUGCAUCUCUUGAUAUAGGAUAAGUUAUAAAUAGCCUUUGAAGUUGGAUUUUGCAAGUAUAACUAUGGAUUUUGAACAUUGUCGAAUCUGCACUUGUUGAGAUAGUUAUAUUUAUGUUGGUAUCACUUCAGUCAAAUAUGUUUUCCUCCCGCGAGUUUGAUUAUCUGUCACGAUACCUUAGAUCGGAACAAAAUAGUGUUAUUAUACGUGAGCAAUCGGAAAAAGCUACUUGGAAACUGCACAAUAAGAAACAACCUUCGAUUUUUUGCACCACACCUCUUCAGUGAUGGCGUUUUCCAAGUACAAUUUAUUGAAAAUCAGACAUUUAGUAACCUUAUAAAUUUCUUAAAUAUUGCACCAGAAGAUUUCAAUAUGAAUGAGCAUUCAUCUGUUGACGAUGAGGUUUUUGAUGAGAUAGAAUGUCAAAAGAUGCGGAAUAUCCAUUUAAUUAUUCCUCUUUUCUACAAUUUCAUAAAAGUUUUGAUACUAUGAGUUUGCAACUAGGGUGGAUCUUUCAGAAUAUAUGGUCCCAGAUAUGAUUUGAUAUCGAUGUUAUAUGCUACUAUUUGCUUCUCCUCACCUUCCUAAAAGACUUUAGUUUACUAUCUGUGGAGUAUAUUACUGCUCUAUUCUUGUAUGCUCUAUGUGUGAUUACAAAUCUGACUUAUAUCUUUUGGGUUGUCAAGCUAAUAUAUGAUCACGAUUUUUGGCUUUCUUAUGGUUCGCUUGAUUUAAUAUCACGACCUUUGGCUUUCUGACAACCUGUGGACCUACGCAUUCAGUUGAUUAUUAAGGUUAGUAGAGUUAAGCUCGUAACAUCUGAUCUUUUGAGUUAGCAGAGUUAAUCUCUUAAACUUUGAUCUUAUUUACAAACAAAUUAUAUCUUACAGGAAAUACAGUUCGCAAUAUUCUGCAAUAUAAUUAUUGGCUCCUGUAUCACACUAUCAAACAACAAAACUCGCUUGCUAAAGCUUCAAGUUAAAACAUGUAUGAUAAGUCAUAAAUUACAUAACUUUCAUAAAUGUCAGAUUGUUUGAAAAGAGUCAUUUUAUAACUAUUAUUCGAUCAUGUGGGAGACAAAUUCUUAUAUAUUUAUAAUUAAAAUGACCCGACUUAAAAUCUAAUUUGGAAUCCGACCCUAUAUAAUAAAAGGUGAUUGACAUACCAAAAAGAGAUAGCUUCUAGAAAUGUUACUGAAGUUCGGAGAUUUUUGGGACUUGCCGGUUACUACAGACGGUUUGUAAAAGGUUUUUCGAUGAUAGCUACACCAAUGACGAAGCUACUUCAGAAAGAUGUUAAGUUCAAAUGGUCGGAAAAGUGCCAGAAAAGUUUUGACCAACUAAAGAUCUAUUUGACUGAAGCUCCAGUGUUAGUACAGCCUGAAUCUGGUAAAGAGAUUGUCAUUUACAGUGAUGCAUCUUUAAAUGGGCUGGGUUGUGUGUUGAUGCAAGAAGGUCGAGUUGUAGCUUACGCGUCGAGGCAAUUAAAACCACAUGAGAAAAACUAUCCGACCCAUGAUCUCGAAUUAGCUGCCAUCGUAUUCGCUUUAAAAAUCUGGCGACAUUACUUGUUUAGAGAGAAGUGUCAUGUGUAUUCAUAUCACAAAAGCCUCAAAUAUUUGAUGAUUCAAAGAGAUUUGAAUCUGCGACAAAGACGUUGGCUUGAGUUGUUGAAAGACUACGAGCUUGUCAUUGACUAUCACCCGGGAAAGGCCAACGUGGUUGCCGAUGCUUUAAGUCGUAAAACACUGUUUACUUUACGAGUAAUGAAUGUAUACCUGUCCGUGUCAUCCAAUAGUGUGUUAGUAGCAGAAUUAAAGGCCAAACCAUUAUUAAUUCAUCAAAUUCGUGAAUCCUAGAAAGUUGACGAUGAAUUGGUUGCUAAACGAACUGAAUGUGUUUCAAAUGUGGAAUCAGAGUUUCAAAUUGAUGAUGAUGAUUGUUUGAGGUUCAGAAGUCGAUUGUGUGUUCCAAGAAAUUCGAAACUUAUUUUGAUGAUUAUGAAUGAGGUUCAUAAUAGUCGAAUGUUAGUUCACCCGAAUAGUACAAAAAUGUACAACGAUCUGAAACGCCGAUUUUGGUGGUCCGGUAUGAAGCGAGACAUUUUGACUUUGUCUCGAAGUGUUUAAUAUGUCAACAAGUGAAAGCGAAACAUCAAGUGCCUUCAAGAUUACUCCAGCCGAUCAUGAUACCUGAAUCGAAAUGGGAUCGUGUCACGAUGGAUUUUGUAUCUGGGUUGCCAUUGUCAUUAAGUAAGAAAGAUGCGAUCUGGGUUGUUGUCGAUAGAUUGACAAAGUCGGCUCAUUUUGUUCCCGUACGUAUGGAUUAUCCACUUGACAAGUUAGCCGAACUGUAUGUUUCUCAGAUUGUAAGGUUACACGAAGUACCUGCUUCUAUUGUGUCGGAUAGAGACCCGAGGUUCACAUCGCAAUUUUGGAAGAAAUUACAAAAAGCAUUGGGUACCAAGUUGCAUUUUAGCACCGCUUUUCAUCCCCAGACCGAUGGUCAAUCCGACGGAUAAUUCAGAUACUCGAAGAUAUGCUGAGAUGUUGCAUCCUUGAGUUUAGUGGUUCGUGGGAACGGUAUUUACCUCUGAUUGAAUUCGCUUACAACAAUAGUUUUCAGUAAAGUAUUAAGAUGGCACCUUACGAGGUUUUGUAUGGUCGUAAAUGCCGUACACCGUUGUUUUGGACCGAGCUUAGUGAAAAUAAAAUCUUCGGGGUUGAUUUGAUUAAAGAUGCUGAGCAGAAAGUAAAAGUAAUCCAUGAAAGUCUGAAAGCAGCUUCAGAUCGUCAGAAGUCGUAUGCAGAUUUAAAGCGAAAAGACAUUGAAUAUCAGGUUGGAGACAAAGUGUUUCUUAAAGUUUCACCAUGGAAAAAGGUGCUCAGGUUUGGCCGUAAAGGCAAAUUGAGUCCGAGGUUCAUCGGGCCAUAUGAAAUAUCCAAACGAGUUGGACCGGUCGCAUACAGAUUGAUUUUACCCUCUGAGCUUGAAAAGAUUCACAACGUCUUUCAUGUCUCGAUGCUUCGACGUUAUAGAUCCGAUCCAUCGCACAUAAUUAAUCCAUCAGAGGUUGAAAUUCAAUCUGAUUUGAGUUAUGAAGAAGAACCAAUUCGUAUCCUAGCUCGCGAGGUAAAAGAGUUGCGAAACAAAAAGGUUCCGUUAGUAAAGGUAUUAUGGCUCAAGCAUGGGAUCAAAGAAGCUACUUGGGAAUCCGAGAACUCUAUGAAAGAACGAUAUCCUAACUUAUUCACUGGUAAGAUUUUCAGGGACGAAAAUUCCUUAUGUAGAGGAGAGUUGUGACAGCCCUAAUUUGACCCUAGUCGGAAAGUGGUUUCGGGACCACAAACCAAGUCAUAAAAAUAAUUAACCGUUAUAUUCUAUGCUUAUAGUAUGUGUACAUGCAAGUGUAAAAGUUUCAUACUUUAAUUUUGUCAUUUGUAUGUGAAAUUUAUUAAAUAGGACUUAGGUGAGACAAUUGUGAAAUAUGUUAGGUUAAUUUUAAAGUGGCCUAUUAAUGCAUAAAUACAAAAAGAUGGACUUGCAUGUCAAAUAUCUAUUUUUGUUGUGUAAUGGCCGGCCAUAAUGUGGUUUUAUUUAGAAUAUAUGUAUUGUUUAUUAGUGAAGUGGCUUUAUAUUUUAUAGUAUUAAUGUAUAUAAAAAAAUAAUAGAAAAAGAAGUGAUGAAAACAAAGCUUCAUUUUUUGGUUCUUCUUGGUCGAAUUGAAGAAAGAAAAAGGGGCAAGAUUUUCGGUCACUUUAAGCUUAGGGAAGGUUAGUAAAUUAUGUUAGUUUUUGAAAUUUUAAGCUUGAUUUAAGUUAAUUAGAUAGUUUCAUACAUAGCCCAUGUCAAAAUUUUGAAAUUUGGUGAUGAUUUGAGCAUUCGGUUUUGGUUAUUAAAGGAGGAGAUUGGAUUAUAGUCUUUAUGUUUUAUGAAGAAUUGUUGAAGAGAAAGGUUGGAGGUAGUUAAGUUAUAAAUUUUUAAUACUCAUGAGUACUAUAGCCGAACAUAAAUUUACUUAAUGACUUGAACAAAUACCGUGUGGAUGUUUGAAAUGAAUGAAUUUGAUGUUUGUUCAUAUUAGGGGCAUAACUUUUAAGAGUUUGAUUUUGAAUAAUAUGAGUAUUGGAAUGUAAGUAAUGUUAUGCAUAGGUUAAAUUUUUGUAUUCGGCUUUUGUAGUAUAUAUGUAUGAUUAAUCCAUUUUUCUUUUCUUUUGCAAAUGAUAUAUAUAGGGUGAUAAAUAUUAAGACUAUUGUUGACUUGUGUUUAGUGAUAUUCGGCCAAGGACUAAAUGUGCUUGCUUAUUCGGUUUAAGUGAAAUAAAUGUGAUUGGUGGAUAUGAUUAGGUUGUGGUUUAUUAUAGACUUGUUUUGAUUGUAUAAAUUAGCUUAUAAAUUGGUUUGGAAAUAAUAAAUAAUGAGCAUGCUUUGUGGCCGUAAGGAUUAUAUGAUAGUGUUUCGUGACAUUAACUUAGCUAGUCGAAUGGAUGAGAAAUGAAUUGGAUAUAUAGAUAGGUAACAUUGACGAGUUGUUUAGCAUAUGGGUUUUGUAUAUUGGUUCGGCAACUAAGCUAGAAAAUAAUUUUUGGUAACAUGGUAUCUAUGCACAUAUAUAGAUAUAUAUAUAAGGUAUCUUAAGUAUAUUUGUCCAUUUGAUAAGGUUGACUAAUAGUUCAAGUAAGGAUUACUCCAUUCGAUAUGUACAUGAAGUGAAGUAAUAGGUUCGGUAAUCAGCUUAUGACAUACGGGUCAUAUCAUAUGUUCGAUUAUAAGUUAAAUACUCGAUAGUUGUGGUUCAUUGGAUAUAAUGUUUGAAUAUCGUUUUGGAAGAAAAAAAAAUAUGAUCGGUUGCCUAUUAAUUAAUUUGAAAUGAAUCAUAAAAAAAUUUGAUAUUUGUAUUUAGUAAAGUUGAAUAAGUCAUUAAAUAAAUCUAUUUGUUUUAAUUAAGCUCAAGAGCAAAGAGGGUCUAAAUCAGAUAAGGGAAAGGAAAAAGCAGUCGAGUAGCCUAUCCGCAACUGUUCAAAAUAUCCAAGGUAAGUUUUGAGUAGUUUCCUUUAAUAUAUAAUUGAUGCUGGUUUAUAAGAGUAUAAUAGGUGAAUUGAAAUUUAGUUAGCACUUGUACAAAGUUGUUUAAUAAACAAUGCGUGUAUAUGACUUUGAGGUCGAUGGUAACUUUGAGUUUAAGCUUGAAUGGCGAAAUGAUUGUGUGAUAUUAGGUAUAAUUUUUGAGUUGAAAUGUUAUUGAUGAUGUGCCUAUUGAACUUAUAUCCGAAUGUAUUAAAUAGUUACUAAGUGAUAGGUUGAUUGAGAUGUGUUAAAUAUAUAACUAAGUAUGCAUGGUAUUGGAAAAAUAUCCGGACUUAAAGUCCGCAGGCUUUAUGCUGGAAAUAUAUCCGGACUUGAAGUCCGCAGGCUUUAUGCUGGAAAUAUAUCUGGACUUAAAGUCCGCAGGCUAAGUGCUGGAAAAAUAUAUGGGCUAAGAACCCGCAGGCUCAUGCUAGUAAUGUAUUCCGAGCUCUGAGAUUUGACAGAAUCGAUGCCAGCAAUGUAAGUGAGAUUGUAAGCUCGAACGUCCGUGGUAAAACUCGUUGCGUAGGUACAUGUAUUUUACAAGUUAAUAUUCGCGUUACGUACUCAGAUUUGAAUUGAUUUCUAUGUGAAUAACUAGAAUCAAAGUACGGUAUAAAUAUAUAUAUGUGUGUGAAUGAAUUCGGUAUUUGAGGAUAAGGCAAUGAUAUAAUUGGUUAAUGUAAGUUAUCAUGUGAAAGAAUGUGGUUAAAGGUAUUAGUAUAAGCCUUAUAAAUAAUGGAAUAUGUGCUAGAAGUUUUCUUAUGUGUAUAUAUAUAUACAUACAUAUUCGGCCAAGAGAUGACCAAUUAGAAUAUUAAUAGGUGAAUUUAUGUACUCGAUUUUAAUAACAAGUUUCAAAUUUUUUGCAUUACUUAAAACUUAUUAAGCAUCAAUAUGCUUACUCUGUUGUCUUAAUCAUUUGUUUUAUAGAUCCUGCUCGUUAACUAUCGGAUUCAGGAGUUUCAAAGUCAAAGUCGUCCAUACUAUCUAAGCCCUUUCGGUACUUUUGUAGCUGAACUUUGUUAAUGGCAUGUAUAGGAUUGACUUUUGAUGUUAAUUAAGUAUCUUUUUUAUAAUGUAUAUAUGUAUAGCCAUGCGAAGAUGGCUUGUUAAAUUAUUAUAUGUAUUCCAUAUAGUUGAUGUGUAUGUGUGGUUGAUAUUCAAUUAAUGUUUUAAAAUGUUUUGAUGUGAAUUGAACUUAGGAACUAUUGGUAUAGUGUUAAAUGAAAAUUUUGUGCUUGUUUUGUAACACUCCUUAAUUCCUCCGGCGAUGGGUACGGGUUAAGGGUGUUACAAAAUACCCCCACACUUAAGCCUUUGCUUGUCCUCAAGCAAAAUCUCAAUCCCUAAAUAAGAAUCAUUCCUCUCAACUUACAACCUUUAUCAAUAAUGUUUCAAACUAAUCUACAAGUAGUCAUACAAUGAAAAUUCAAUCAAAGGAACAUUAGAGACUCAAUCACUCUAAGUUGAGAAUUUUAUCAUUGAAACAUAAGUUUUCUCCCUUCUCCUAAGUAAUUAUCUCUCCAUCUUAAUUAACAGGAGUUGACAUCCUCACUAAGGAUUCACUCUAUCCACUCGAAGUGUUUAGGGUUCAAAAAUUAAGCACUCUCUGGUCAACCUGAAAAGUUAUUACCAUAGGCUUGCUAGAAAAUCAAAUCUCCACCAUGUAGGCUGAUAUGAUACAUCGAUCAAAAGGUCUUUCAAGGGUUGUAACGGGGCUUGGUUAAGGGUGUUGUCAUAGGCUGCAAAAGAAGGUUAGAAUCGAGAUUAAACUGAAAAAUUAUCUAGCUAGAAAAAUCUCUAUCACUGGAACAUAUUUCUCAAGCUAAUUCUUAUGAUAAUAUCAACUUUGCCUUGGUAGCUUUAAACUAGAAAUAUGCAAAAACUUAUUGAACUACUAUAAAUUACAACUGAAUACAUAUGUUUUUUAUAUAUUUUUUUAUUCUGUUUUUUUAUUUUUUUUCUUCUUUUAUUUUUUUAUUUUUUUUUAUUUUUUUAAGAACAAUUCAUAAUAACUUGAAUAUUUACAACUGUACAUGCUGGAAAAGAGAACAAAGCUAGAUAAUAAUUUAAACUCAAAUCUAGACAAAAACAAGGGUCAAAGUAAUUGAAUGAAAUUCAACAAAAAAUGGGUUAUUGGUUAGUAAUUAGAAGGUAAGUCAAAGACUGGGUUGUUAGGCUCAACGGGGUUCACUAGGGGUUAAUUUGUGGAGGUAGGCCCUUUUGUGGAGUAAGUGGGUUAAAUCCUAGGUGCCUUUAUCAUUUCGGUAUAUCAAAUCAAUGAUGUGGUCUUGACAUGUAUAAUCAAAGCAAGUUCUAGAAUAACAAAUCAGUAUUGACUCACUCAAAGCAAUAAUAAAAGUGAGCACGAAAGAAUGUAUGCUCAAAAAGGCUCAAAAUCUCACCAGAAUUAUGGCUUUUGAUGUCAAUCCUGUGAAUUUCAAAUCUCAAGAUAACACUUAGAAUUAGGGAAAAUGACUUAUGCAAAAAAUUUGGGGUUUUUAAAAAUUUUAACUUAUCAUGCCUGAUACCCUAAUGUUUUAAAGUCUGAAUAAUCAGAGCACAAACACCUAUAUCUUAAUUCUCAACAUAUCAAUAAAAUCAUAAAUCAAUUAGAAUUAAUCCCUAAUAGGAGACUGAGAAUUAUUUGAGAACAAAGCAUAAUGAAAAAUUUCAGGGAUUUCACAGAUAAUGAGCUUCCCCCUCACACUUAAGAUGUACAUUGCCCUCAAUGUACAAAGAUAUGUAAAUAGCAAGAGAAGUAUAAUAUCAUAAGAUAGGGAGAGAAUUGAAACCCUGAAUUUAGGAUGAAUUUGUGAGGAAGAGUCGGCAGUUUGGGCAGGGUGUUCCCAUUUCCGUUUGAAUAUGAGCUGUAGAGCUCCUUUUUGAAACUGCGAAAAUAUUAAUUAGUCGUGGGAAUUUUCGAUUAAUAGAGAUUACUAGUUAGGGAUUGGCCGAUAUAAAAGAUAGUAAAUUAAAUAAUAGAAAUAAUAAUAAACUAAGUUCUAAGAAUACUAAUACUGUAAUGAUUAAAAGGAUUAAACAUAAAAAUAAAAUUUGAAAUAAAAAGGAAAUUAAUAAAGGAAAAAUAAAAAUAAAAAAUGAGAAAAAUAGAACCGAAUGGGAGAAUAGAGGUACAUGCCCGUGUGGCUCGGGGUUAGCCCGUGUAUUUCAAAAUUGGCGUACCUGGUUCGAAUAGCACGCCCGUGUGGAGUAGCUCGCACGGCCGUGUACGAAUGGUUUCGCUGCUCCCACAGGCGUGGGAUAUUUCACACGGUCGUUUUCAAUUUGGCAGUGUUGGCCAUGGGCGUGGGGUUUUGUGCAAGCCCGUGUUGAUACUGCAGGUUUGCCACGGCCAUGUCGCACGACCGUAGAGAAUAAUCGGUGGCCCGUAUUUUGGGAAAAAUUUGUGCUCUGUUUAUACACGGCUUUGGUACACGACCGUGCCUCUGUUGAAGUGUUCACACGGCCUCGGACACACCCGUGGGCAUGGCCGUGUGGUUCUAGUUUCCUGCAUCAAAAGUGUUAGUUGAUGUAUUAAAUGACUAAAAUAGAAGAAAAGUUACUAAGUUAGUGCUCGGGUUGCCUCCCGAGAAGCGCUUAUUUAUAGUCUAAGCUCGACUUUGUUCGAGCUAUGUGUUCACGGUGGUUUGAAGAGGUGAUACUUCUUUAUCCAGUUUAAAACUUUAUUUUCAAUGUAGGAUUUGAGUCGAGUGUAGUUUACCUUGAAAGUGCCAAGUGACUCAUGUUUUAUCUCUACUGUACCAUAGGGGAAGAUUUUCAUUACCGUGAAGUAAGGUGUGUCACUUGUGUGUUCUUUCGAAUUCAAGAUUCAAGGGUCGCCUUCCCUUAAAAUUACCUUAUCUCCCACAUUGAGUUGAUUUGUUAUUACCUGAGGGUUGUCUUGUUUAAGCUCUAGGUUGGUGUGGCAUAUUUUGGGCUUUUUGUGAUAGUUCAGCCACUCAUCUAGUUCUUCAGUCUGAAGCAUCCGCCUUUCGGGUACAUCUCCUUGGGAUGGACUUGUCUGUGAUUAGGUUGCCUUUAUGUGAGGUGUAUCCUGUACAGAAGGUUGGGUGGUGAGUUUAGUGUUUUUACAAGAACUCGUAACUAUAUUAUUAUCAGUAAUCUUAAUCGAGUUCCGAGCUUGUAAAGUAACUUUGUCAUCACUUAUACGUAGUGUAGACUCACCUAUUUCUAAAUCAAUUUUAGUUCUAGCCAUCGCUAAAAAAGGUCGCCCUAAAAUUAAGGGUAUAUUACUAUCCUCAUCAAUGUCUAAGACAACAAAAUUCACUGGGAAUAUAAAUUUAUCUACUUUUACUAAAAUAUCUUCAAUUAUACCCUUAGGAACUCUAAGGGUUUUAUCAGCCAAUUGUAUGCUCAUUCUAGUUUGCUUGGGCUUCCCAAGACCUAGUCAUUUAAACAUUGUAUAAGGCAUGACAUUUAUACUUGCCCCUAAAUCAGCUAAUGCAUUAUCAACGGUUAAACUACCAAUUAAACAAGGGAUAGUGAAACCCCCUGGAUCCUUUAGUUUGUUGGCUAGUUUGUUUUGAAGGAUAGCUGAGCACACUGCAUUCAGUUCAACAUGCGAUGAUUCGUCUAACUUUCGUUUAUUUAUCAGUAGCUGUUUCAAGAAUUUAACAGCAUUUGGCAUCUGCGAUAAAGCAUCAAGAAAUGGUAAGUUAAUGUGUAAUUUCUUUAAGAGUUUAAGAAACUAACUGAAUUGUUCGUCUGACCGGUCUUUUUUUAGUGCGUUUGGGUAUGGGGUGUGAGGCUUGUGUUCUUUGAUGUCUGACUUGUUUUUACUUGCCUCUACCCUACCUUUAUUCACCUCAGGUUCCUCGUUCAUCCUUGGGUUGUCUUUGGUUAAUGCUUCAUCAUCUAUUGUACUUACGGCAUGAAUUUGCUCUUUUGGAUUGGUCUCAGUGUUACUUGGAAGUCCACCUUGUGGUCUUUCUGAUAUUAUCUUGGCUAAUUAACCAAUUUGAUUCUCAAGCCCUUUAAUUGAUGCUUUUUGGUUCUUAAUGUUGUCUCAGUGUUCUGAAAGCGGGUUUCUGACAUGGCCAUGAAUUUGGUAAACAUCUCUUCGAGAUUCGGCUUUUUCUCCUGUUGUGGUGGCGACUGCUGAAAUAUCGGAGGAGGCUGUUGUCUUUGGUUUCCUUGUCCUCCCCAUGAAAAAUUGAGGUUAUUUCGCCAACCUGCAUUAUAUGUGUUACUAUAAGGAUUAUUUUGAGAUCUAAAAUCAUUACCCAUAUAAUUGGCUUGCUCGGUUUCUGUGCUAUGGCUAUAGAAUGGAUAGUCUGGAUUGAACAUGUUCCCUUGCGUCGUGUCACACUGCAUCACCUGUUGUGCCUGCAUAGAACAAACAAAAUUAUCAAACUUUUUAUUUAGAAGUUCUACUUGGUUAGUAAGCAUGGUGACAGCAUCAAUAUUAUAAACUCCUGCAGCUUUUGUUGGCUUUGUCCUCAUGACUUGCCACUGAUAGUUAUUCAAUGACAUUUCUUCAAUAAAUUCAUAAGCUGCUUCAGGUGUUUUAUUGUUAAUCGUUCUUCCUACAGCUGCAUCAAUCAUUUGUCGAGUUGAUGGGUUCAAACCGUUGUGGAAGGUUUGAACUUGUAGCCACAAAGGUAGUCCGUGAUGAGGGCAUCUUCUCAAAAGAUCCUUGUAUCUCUCCCAGGCAUCGUAGAGUGUUUCUAAAUCCAUCUGCACAAAGGACGAAAUAUCGUUUCGUAAUUUAGCUGUUUUAACGGGAGGAAAAUAUUUAAGUAACAAUUUUUCAAACAUCUGUUCCCAUGUAGUGAUUGAUCCUCGUGGUAAAGAAUUUAACCACUGUUUGGCUUUAUUCCUUAAAAAUAAUGGAAAUAGCCUUAGUCGAAUGGCAUCAUCAGAAACGCCAUUAAUUUUGAAAAUAUCGCACAAUUCCAAAAAGUUUGCUAAAUGUGCGUUGGGAUCUUCAUCCUGUAAACCAUCAAACUGCACAAAUUGCUGAAUCAUCUGAAUGGUGUUAGGUUUUAAUUCAAAAUUAUUAGCAGCAAUAGCAGGUCUAGUAAUACUAGUUUGAGUACCAACCAAACUAGGUUUAGCAUAAUCAUACAUAGUAUGAGGAGCUUCAUCUGGUCUUGCGGGUAAUGCUGGAGGUGGUUGAAUGUUUUGAUUUGCGUCCAUUACUUCUGUAGGUUUUGGCUCUUGUUCUGGAUAAUGUAGGCUUCGUCUAAUUUCUUUGUGGUUUCUGCGAACUGUGGCUUCUAAAUCUUCGUCAAAAAGUAGUGGUCCUGUUGGGUUGUUUCUAGUCAUAAACUAGAAAAACCUAGAUAAAUGAAAAGAAAAGAAGAUAAAAAUAAAUAAAUAAAUAAAUAAAUAAAAAUAAAUAAAUAAAUAUAAACAAAUAUAUAUAUAGUAAUGUCUAAAGUAAUAGAAAUCGAGCUUUCGUAAUAUUUUAGUUCCCUGGCAGCGGCGCCAAAAACUUGAUAUACGUGAUAUGAAGUAAUAAAAUUUAUAAAGAACUUGAUCACACCAAAACUAACUAAUAUCACGACAUUAAGGCAAGCGCACCUAUCGAACAGUAGUAUAGCUUAGUGGCAAGAACGAGUUAUCGUACCCAAGGGAACCAAAAGUACUAUUACUUACUUCCUUUCUAUUAUUUAGCCUAAAAAUAAGAUAGGGUUGUUUAAAUUAAUUCUAAAACUAAACUAAAAAAAGCACAAAGAGUGAAUUGGGAAGACUUUUAGGGAAAAGUUGAUUGAUAUGGACAAUACUCAAGGGAGAAUCCACCUAGACUUCACUUGUUAUUGGUUCUUGAGAUAGACGAUUUAUUCACUUGACUUGAUCCGUAGAGAUCCCUAAUUUAUGCUAAACCCUCCGUCGAGGUGAAGAGCAACUAGGCCUAAGCUGUUAAUUAAAGUUCCUUUAUUAAUUAACUCCCUAGGUUGCAUUAAUUCGAUCUAUGGCUCCCCAUAUUAGGUUUGACCCUAAUCCGGUAAAUGUAUGUCGCCCUAUGUCUAGGGUUGCAUGCAACUCCGCUUAAUUAUGGUAGAUCUACUCUUAUCACAGGGACUUUUGCUCCUCUGCUCUAAGCACAUCUGUUUCUUGAAUUAAUACCUAGGUUUAUUAACACAAUAAUUAAGUACACAUAAUUAAGAACAACUUAAGUAUUUAUCAUAUAACUCAAGAAUAAAUACAUGCUUGUACAGGGGACUUCUGCAUUGUACUGUACUGCUUAUACGAUAGCUUAGCUGUGUAUUAUUAUCUAAGUGGCUUAGUCCACAUACAUAGAGUGUAGGGUUGGAUAGGCUUUUCGAGGUCUUAUGUGGUGUGUUUAGUUGGAUGAGCUUAAAUAACUCUUUUGGGGUGUGAUCGAGGGACAAAAAGGUGUUUUGGCUGGAUGUGUGGGUUUUUAAUAUCUGACGGCAUUCAUACGCAUCUCUUUGAGUGUUCUGAGUGUGAGACUAUCUAACUGUUUUCUGUCUAACUGAAUAACACUUGUGACUGUGUGUUUGUACGUUACUUGGUGUGCUUGAGUUGUUAUUUUUUGUUGUCGGAUUCAAGUUUACUUUCUGACUCUGUGUAUAUCUAGUUGACUACUUUGCUGUUGGUUUGAGUUCUGUAAUUCUGUUUUUAGUAAUGUUUGAAUUCACACUGAGCUCGUGUAGCUCACCCCCUUAGUGCUUCCAUUUCAGGUAUCUUUUUGAAUUCUGAAGCUAGACUCGAUAAGCAGAGGUCUCAGAUAGUCAUGAUCUAAAAUAAAUUAACAGUUCUUCUUUUUAAUUUCUAUUUUUUUAUUCGAAUUUGAACUAUAAGGUUUUAUAAAAACGAGGGUACAAGUUCUAUUUUUUAUUUUUCUUGUAAAUCUUAUUUUGUUCAUAAAUUAUACUUAACUGCAAUUUUUCUUAUUGAAAUCUAUAGGAUUUAAUACACUUGGUCCGUAAAGAAUUAAAUAUGUUUGUAAUGGAAUUUGAAAUAACUUGUUGGUAAAAUUUUUCUAUGAUCACUUCGGUGGUCAAUAUAACCUCCGAGAUUCAGUCUAAAUUUUUAGGCCGGGUGUAGGAUGUUACAUAUUCAAUUAAAAAUCAAAAUAAAAAUUGGUUGUAAAAUUUACUCAUAAUGAAAAAUAUCAAUGAAAACAAAGUAUAGUGCUACAUUCAAUAUUUAUCUAUAAUAAGAUUGUAAAUUUAAAAAUUAACCCAAAUAUUUUUUUUGCCUCAAAACACUAACUGAUAUUAUUAAAGCACUUAGCCCAAGCAAAUUGAAAAGACAAAACACUGAACAGUAAAAUAAACGGCAGAAAAUAAACGAAACAAUUGUAAAAAAAAAGCACACCAAAUAAAGUAACAAAACAAAGCCAUCAACAAAACAAAGCAACCUGAGCCAAAGAACCUGCAGCAACCAACAUCUUAUCAGCCAGCAAGACGUUUAGCUUCUCUUUCUGAAGAAUCAAGAUUUGGGAGGAGAAGAAAACAAAGCUUUGAAUCCAAAAACGGAGGAGCGGUGAACUUUCACCAAAAUCAAAGCUAAAAUAGUAGAACCCAACAUCGACAGCGUAUCAAGAGUUCCAUUCCAAUUUGUCCUUCGUCGCCAUCGUCAUCACAGAAUUAAGUACUCCAUCAUCCUAAGCACCAUAAGCCUGUCUUCUCCGACCCUCCACCGCCAGCAUGUGAGCCGUUCUAUUGACAGAUCUGGGUACAAAAUUAAAAGAAACCUCGUCAAAACACUUUUCCAGAUAACAAAUUUGCUGCGUUAUUGGUCGAAGAACUGACCUGUCCUUUUCUUUUUUCUUAAUGUUCUUGAUGACAGUUAGUGAGUCCCCUUCCACGAUCAGGCAUCGAUAACCUCCCUCGACCACAAACAGAAGCGUCCGUUCAUAAGCCCUUGCUUCAGCCACGCAACAAUCAUUUACAUCCGUGAAUAGAUAAGUUUCUAACCCUCUAAUUCCUGCUUCCGAAUCUCUAGCUAGGACUGUCGUUGUAGCAAUUCUUGACUUAUUAUGAUAAGCUGCAUCAAAGUUUAGUUUAAAAACCCCACGAUCUAGAGGCUUCCAAGCUUCUUUACUCUUAGUUCUAUUGGUAGAACAAAUGUUCUCCUGUGACAUGUUGAGAUCUCGGCAAUAUCUAUGAACAAACCCCACUAACUCCUGCAAAUAAUACUUACGGCCUUCAUGAACUAGUUUAUUUCAUCUAUACCAGAGACCCCAAAUAGAAAUGGCCAUAACUUGUUUUUGUUGUUCAUCCGUAGCGAUAAAAGAAUGGAAGAAGUGCAGCUUGCAACACGUCAGUUCCUCAAGGGACAGAAGCUUGAUUUGCAAAUAGUCCCACACAGAUUGGAGGAUGCCAUAAGACCACAACAAAUUAUCAGAGUUUUCCCGAGCAAUUUUACACAAAGGACAGACAAUCUCAGUACAUAAGUACCUUUUCUCCAAGUUACAGAAAUGGGACAGUAAAUUAUUGAAAAGUCUCCAUAUGUGAAUUUUAAUUUUCUCUGGGAUAUGCAAAAUCCAAAGAGCCUUGUAAAAAUUCUGUUGGUAAGUUUCAUCAGGGAUAAUAGGAAAGUUUUUCUGUAACCACUCUGUAGAAAGAGCUUUAUAUCCACUUUUCACUAUAUACUCCCCAGACCCUUCAUAUUUCCAUACCAUCAUGUCCUCAGAGUUAGCUCCCAUUAGAGGAAUGGAGAUAAUACGUAUCGCUGUGUCUUCAUCAACUAAAUUAUGUAUCAGCUCAUUAUUCAAAGAUUUGUCUCAACUUCAAUCAAUUGAUUCAUACAUGUCCAGUUAGGCAGAAUCCUUUGAACUGACAAUCUGUUGUUCUCCCUUCCAGGCAACCAAAGAUCAUUCCAUAAAUUAAUAUGGGAACCGCUACCAACCCGCCACACAAGCCCAUCCGCAAUCAGUUCCCUGACACUACAAAUACUUCUCUAGGUAAAUGAAGGGUAAGACCCAAUUCUCGCUGUUAGAAUAUCCAAAGAUAGGAAAUAUCAAGCUUUUAAAACUUUAGGUAGAAGGCAACUAGGUUGAGAGAAAAUGCGCCAAACCUUUUUAGCUAAUAAUGACUUGUUAAACAAAACAAGAUUUUUAAAUCCCAUUCCACCAACACAUUUCGGACGACAUAAAAAGUCCCAAGUGCUCCAAUGAAUACCCUUCGCAGUUUUAUUAUUGGUCCACCAAAAUUUGUUCAUUAUGCCUUCGAGCUUACGACAUAAGGUCUUAGGCAUAAUAAAGCAUUGCAUAGUGUAUAUUGGGAUGGCCUAAAAGACUGACUUAAUGAAGACUUCCCUCCCCCCCCUAUAGACAAAUACCGCAAGCUCCACCCAUCAACAUGUUUUCUGAACCUAUCAACAAAAUUCGGGAAAGCCCAGGCUUUUUUCCGCCCUACCAUCAUAAGCAAACUUAGGUACUUCUCUGGGCUUGAAGCUACUCGAGCCCCAAGCAAGUUAACUAUGUUCUCCUUAACAGACGAGUCCAUGUUGGCCCCAAAAUAGAUAAGGGACUUAUCAAAAUUCACACGCUACCCAGAAAUCAUCUCAUACUCCCGAAUCACAUCACGAAUCACUCUAGCUCAUUUGCAUGAGGCAUCGCCAAAAAGGAUACUAUCAUCUGCAAAGAACAUAUGAGCAAUUGAAAGUUUUUUCUUGCCAAUCAACGCCCCUUUCAACCGUCCUUUCUGUUUGGCUUCCUUGAUAAGUGUAGAAAACCCUUCCGCACAAAUGAGAAAAAGAUAUGGGCUGAGAGAAUCCCCUUGCCUCAAAUCUCUUGAAGCCGAAAACCACUCACUGUUGGACCCAUUGAGACUGACCGAAAAAGAGACGGAGCACACACAUCUCAUAAUUAAAACAACCCAAUCAUUAUGAAAGCCCAAGUGUGUCAUCAUACCCGCCAAAAAAUCCCAUUCAACACGGUCAUACGCUUUGCUCAUAUCGAGUUUAAGCGUAAAGUUUUCGUUCUUUUCGGUUUUUCUCGUUUUAAGGGAGUGAAGGACCUCAUAAGCUACUAGUACAUUGUUGGAAAAAAGUCUGCCUAGAAUAAACGCUCCUUGAGCAUCAUCAAUACAAUGACCCAAAAUAGAACUCAUCCAUUUCACCAACGCUUUUGCCACAAUUUUAUGAACAACAUUGUAAAGACUAAUGGGGCAUAAUUGAGUCAAAUUUAUUGGUUUCUCAACCUUAGGGAUUAGAACAAUUUGGGUCUUAUUAAUGUCACCUAACUCAGAUUCGCCAUUCAAAAUUGAAAGACAAUAAGAUAAAAUAUCAGGCCCUAUUAAAUGCUAGUACCUUUGGAAAAGUAUUACAGAAAAUCCAUCAAUUUCAGGUGCAUGCAAAGGCGCCAUCGGCUUUACUACCGACUCUAUAUCUUCUGCAGUGAACUAAGUAAGAAGAUUGUCAUUCAUGUUUUUCGUAACUCUUUUCUCCACUAACUCAAAAACAUGCUCAUCAGGGCCCAUUUCAAAAGUCGAAAAAAGAUCACUAAAGAAUUCAAAAGCAAGUUUUAGCAUUGCAUCAUUCGAGGAAAUUCUCCUACCAUUCUUAUUAUCAAGCUCAGAAAUUCUACCCCGCAUUUGACGUUGCACAGCUAUAUUGUGAAAAUAGCUAGUAUUUCGGUCUCCAUUCUUAAGCCAAUUGACAUGGGCUCGUUGCUCCCAAAACAAUUAUUCCUUGUCUGCCUCCAAAUUAAGUCCUAGUUGGAGAUCAAAAAUUUCUGCUAAAAUCUCGUCAAAGAGGUCCUGGUUAUACAGGAAAUUUAAUCUAUCUUCUAAAUCUGCACAGACUUUGCUUUCCUCUUUUUUUUUUUACUCCAACACUGAAUCUGAUAGCUCAAACUUUGAAGCUUAACCAGAAUGCUUCCUGAACAUUCAGUCCACCAUUUUUCGACUAAUCCUUCAAAAGAAGUAUCCAAACACCACUUAGCCUCGAAUCUAAAAGCCUUAUCAAUGAAGCGCUGAUCCUUCUUGCCUUUCCCCACGGUAUCCAAGAGAAUAGGGCAGUGGUCAGAGAAGGAGUGACUCAAAUGUUCAAUCUAAUAGCAAGGGAAAAGAUUGACCCAGUCCAACGAAGUAACCCCACGAUCCAGACGUUCCCUAAUGUUAUUACUUGAAAAUUUUCCUCUCCCAAGUGAACCAGCGACCAAUAUAACCCAGAUCAUUACGAUUACAAUCCUCCAGUGUUAGUCGAAAAGCAUCCAUUUGACGUUCUGAUCUGAGACGACCACAUUUCUUCUCAAAAGAGCUGACAAUCUCAUUAAAAUUUCCAAGAACGACCCAAUGAAUAGCUUGAUCAUGACUUAAGU